Molecule: long non-coding RNA, 71124 nt
Filed under: Triticum aestivum (bread wheat)
Lineage: Eukaryota; Viridiplantae; Streptophyta; Magnoliopsida; Poales; Poaceae
Description: long non-coding RNA (TAES_LNC026978)
Rfam family: MIR1120/MIR1122 microRNA precursor family (bases 5537-5623)
Source: RNAcentral
UUUUUUUUCGUGAAAUACAGUGGCCCGUCUGGUGGGUCCCAGCAGUCAGGGGGAAACGUUUUGUCGCAAAAUACGGUGGCCUGUCCAGUGGGUCCCUGCUGUCAGGUGGAGGAAUCACUAUUUUCCGCGUAAUAAGGAGGCGCUUCCUUGCUGCGGCCGUGGACCCAACUGUCAGCCUCUCCACGUACAGUACACUUCCGAUGGAAGUCGUUCCUUGACCACGUUGACCAUACCACGUUAUGUUGGAUGCAUGCGUCCAUGGGCGUGGUGUGUCCCCACUAUCAGCCUCUCACGUACAGUCAUCUUCCGAUGACUCUCAGAUGUUGACCACACCGUGCCGAGCGCACCAAGGCCGGUGGACGAGGGCGAGGCCCUAGACUGGAACGACCCAGAGAUGGGGAAGACGGGGCAGUGGAGUCAUAGAUGGAGAGGAGUGGGAAACUUGACUGGUUUGGGUGCACGGCAGCACAGCCGCGGUGCCACCCAUGGGAGACAGGAGCAAGAACAGAGGCUGUUGGAUUAACAUCCAAUGGUCCAGCUGCUAAAAUCAUUUGUUGAUUAAGUUGACAAAGCCCUACGUACACGUCCUCUUAGUAGGCCCACAAGUCAACCACCAAAUCUGACGGGUCCCAGCUGUCAACGGGAGGAAUAAUUUUUUUCGCAUAACAAGGAGGCACUUCCUUCCAUGCGAAGAUACAGCCGGUGGGUCCCAGCUGUCAGGUGGAGGAAACAUUUUUUUCAGCUUAAUAAGGAGGAACUUUCCUUGCGUGCGACCAUGGACCUCGUGGGUCCCAGCCGCCAGGCUCUCCACGUACAGUCCUCUUCCGAUGACUCUCGUUUGUUGACCACGCCGCACCGAGCACAGCGAGGCGGUGGACGAUGACGAGGCCCCGGAUGGGAACAACUCAGAGAUGGGAAGACGCGGCAGUGGAGUCGCAGAUUGAGAGGAGGAGAAGGGUUAUAACUGGUUCUGGUGCGGCGUGGGGCUGCAGUCGGUGGAGAAUAACAGGAGGUGUGGAGGGGUGGAGGGAUAGCCUGGCCGGCGGUGGGGUAGCGCUUCGCAGUGAUGCGUGCUAAGUAGACCCGCUAGCUGCCGGAGGCCGGACCAGGCGGUCCCGGCGAUGCUGGAGGAAGAAGACGAGAGAUUGAAGGUGCAUGCCGGCCGUUGGAUAUAAAUCCAAUGGCUGUGGAUGUCAUAAUCAUUUGUUGACCAAGUUGACAACGCCCUACGUAGGCUUUGACCUAUUGGCCCACACGUCAGCCUGCAAAAAUGUGGCAUAUAUUUUAACCCAUGUUUUGUAGAAUGUAUAGUCCAUUUGCUGGGCUGGGUGAAUAAAUAAUUUCGCGUCAAUGCGGCCCAUUUAUAUUUUCUAAGAAAUCCCAGCCCAUUUGCACUUCCUUGAAAUACAUGAAUUAGCUGGGCUCGUUAUAUAUAUAAUGUUAUGUUAGAAGGAGCAAUUAAUAUCAAAAAAUAAACCAGAGAGGCACAUUAUAUAUAUAUAUAACAAAUUAGCGAGUUCUUGCUCAAAAUAAAAAUAAGUGCGUUAUUAUUACAUUGGUCCUUAAAAUCUUCGCAAGCUAUUGUACGCAAUCACCAGGAUUUUCCUUGCCUGUGAGUCAAAAACAACCAGGAUUUUCCUUGCCAACUUCUGUUAAACAUUUAUUUUUAUAAGUUAAUAACACGUGGGAUGUUUUUAUAAUGUAUAUAUAAGUCUCUAUAAAAUAUACGAUAAUAGUAAUAAUAUAAAUAUAUAUAAUGUGGUUAGAAGGGAAAACAUAAAUUGGACACAACAUUAUUAUUAUUAUAUAUAGAUAAAUAGAACAGAGACCUGCGUUUUAUUAAAAAAAUACAUUGGGCUGCCAAUAUUUAAGAAAAAGCCCAUAGGCCGGUAUGGACCUCAAAAAAUAAGUUGAAACCACUAUCUCCGUAUGUCGUGGUCUACACAUGUUAAAAUACAAAAUCUAAGCCUAGCUGAUACUUGUUCGCCCUCUGGAAAAAAAUGAUACCAGAUCCCUGAGCGAACUGGAUUAAAGAGGGGGCCGGCGGCAUGACUGAAGAAGCACAUCAGGAGAUAUUUUUUUCUUUAGUGGAUGGCUCUCGAUGGCGUUUUUACUUGCCUCUGCACCAUUACAACUUGUAUUUUUAGCCUCCUAGUCCGUGGUGGACCAGCAGCCCAUUUGCUGGGCGGGCCAACCUAUAGAAACCAGCACUCAAUUUUUCAUCAAGCCCCAAAAACAACGCAGUACUAUGUUUGUUUUGAGGCCGAAAACAUUACGACAGGGGUUGAGUGGGGGAGGGGGGAAGAUAGAGCAAAAAGAUUAAAAAGAGCUGAUGCACCGUUGCUACCCUAACAAAGUAGGUGGAACUCUUCUCGGGAAGAAGGUGUGCCGUUGACACCCACACGUCACAUACCCCACAGUAGGCAUACUAACAAGUUCACACACAAGUACAACAGAAAAGGUAAACAUUCAUAUCAAACUCAGGUUCACUAGACACGUUCAUAUUCAUAGCCAACAUUCACUAUCAACAACUCAAAAGAUUCAUAUAUACACAAGUUUAGCAUGUCUAUGCAUCCAAAUGAUUGAUAGAUCACACGACAAUAUUCAUAGAUAAUUCACAAAAAUAUUCAGAUAUACACAUGUUUAGUAUGUUUAUGCAUCCAAAUGAUUGAGAUCACAACCAAUAUGAUCCAUGGAUGAACUUUAAUUACCUACGGUACAGGCUGGUAAAUGGUGUUCAGUCAGAGGUACUUCUUCCUAAAAUUAAUGCUUGUACGAGUAAACUUUCGAGUACAUAAGAGGCAGCACAGACAAUCUGAACUUUGCUUGUAGGUUUAUCCUCAAAUAGUGGCCUCAUGCCGAGGGAGGUUUGAGAUACUUGGCCACUACUUUCAUCCAACUAGUUUACUAGCUCAUCUUGGUCCUCUAGCUCGCCAAAAUUCUACAUUGCAGACGAGAAAGGAGGCGGUUGAGAAAAUGAACCACCCAAAUUUUUUGUGCAGUUCAACUGAAAUGGAGUAUCCCUGGCGUGUAGACUGAUUAAGUGCCAGAUGAAUAUACACGUCAACCAACUUGUCUGGAAUCUUUAGACUCCAUGCCAUACAGUUCGCUACCAUAUUUGUCGAUAACCAAAAGGCACAAGUUGGGACCAAAGAUUGGACUGUGUUUUUCUGGGCUAUGCGCCAAGCAAUAUUUUUGGCGUUCACUCUCCUAAUACUUGGAGUUUGACAACUGGUUGACGCUGGUUGAUACUCGAAUGAUUAUAGGCACUUCUUGUCAACAUCGAUGCUUGUCUGAGUGAACUUUGGAGUACAUAGCAGCAGCAUAAGUAUCUGUCCAUCUGAUCUUUUUGUGCAGGUCUAUUGAAAUCACCCAAUGCAAUGAUUUGCCUGCGAGUUCAGGCUCCAAGUUAAUCCUUUAUAAAAUCGGCAAACAGUAGCACAAUACCAAAUUACCAAUACAAGACAAGCACAAUAAUCAGUAUAAAGACCAGUACCAACCUGUGUGAGGUAGCAUAUCAAUUACUAUUUCCUUUGACUGGAAGCCGAGAUAAGCGAAGCGACUGACAGCAAAGGAAGAAAGUAGGCCCAUAUUAGCGAAUGACAGGAAAGGACGGAAGCUGUCGAGGUAAUGAAGCACCCAAAGUUUUUGUGCAGUUCCACCAAAAUCGAGCAUCCCUAUUGGCACAUAUAUUGAGAGAGUGAGAUUACUGUAAUAGUGGGACUAGUUGAUGAAACAUACACUAACAAAUAGAAGCACCCUCAUUAUGUUAAUGGGUAAAGUUAGCAACAUAGUAGUCUUGCUUAAAGAGAGGUAUUAGUUUAUUUAAUCAGUGCUAAUUAGCUCAACACUCAAAGCAUUGCCAUGUAUCAUAGGUUGGAAAACUUUAACGUGCAAAGAUAAAGGAGUUUCUCAUGACAGUAGCACAAUACAAAUAGAGAUGACAUCAAACUAAUAUGGAUGAAGGCCUUAGGCUCGUACCAAGCUGAGGAAAAAAGCUUAUUCAUGUAGUCCCAUAAGAGAUGAUAAAGCACUCACUGGAAUCACUCAAUAGUAUAUAUUAUUGUGCACUUCAAAUGUAUGGUUGAAAUCACUCUUGUUUACCAGUGCUGAGAUUAUAUCGAAAGAUUAUCAAGAACUUCCAGCAAAGUUAAAGCACUGGAUGGGAUACAGUUCAUUGUAUUGUCUUGUGUAGUUCCACUAAAAUGUAUGAUUGGCACAACAUGAUCCCUGUUUGCACAAGUAGGAACAAGGUGAAACCUUCAUUAGCUUAGUGAUAAAGGAUAGAAGGACAUUAGCAUAUUACUCUAACAGUAGCAUCAAAUUCAUGAUGGACAAUACGCAAAACAUUGCCUCAUUGAACCAAUGGCAAUAAAUUGACAUGCAAAACAAUAGCACUGUUAUGUCAUGACACUAAUAAUAUUCCCUCCCUGCUUCACCACAUGAUUCACCUCCAUAGACAAACAUACACACGUACAUGAUUCAGCAUAGGGUGCUACUAAACAUUUGUUUAACUCUGAUAGGAAAAUUAGGCAGCAAUAAAUUAGUGGUACUUAAGUACUCCUAAUUAAUUAAGUGAGACAGCAGAAGUAGAAGGGCUCCCUGGAGGAUCAUCUCACGUUUAAGGUAGUCAUUGCCGGAGCCCUUGAAUGGCCUCGACUGAGGCCUCUGGCUUCAGCAAGAUCGCCUUGGCACUGUUUAUUCUUCUUCUUCUUCCUCUUCAUGCUCUGUUUAUCUUUCUCCUCACCAGUUGGUGAAACCAAGUACAUGAUUGGCCUUCUAUUUCAGAAUUGGUUUUGUCAGUGAGUGAGUACAAGUGUACUAGUAAAAAAUAGCAUUAUUUUCUCAUGGCAGUCGAAAAUAGAGAUGAACACAUGCAUUAAAUAUCAUUCUUACCUAAAGGAAGAUUAUGGCGCCAAUAUGGAUGAUGAGGAUUGGAACACAGAUCUCCCUUUGUGCAGUUCCACCGAAAUGAACCAACUAUUCCAUUAUGACAUUCCAGUUAAACAACACAAAAUCACUUCUUUUAAGAAGAGUUUUGUGCAGCGCACCAAAAGGUCACAACAGCAACUAGGUGAAAUGGAUAUCCCUGUUUGCACAAAAAGCUACAUAGGAAACAGUCAGAGUCUCAAACAAUUACAGGCAAAAACAUUUGGCUAAACUUGUCAUGGCUUAUAACAGUGGAAUGGCUUCAUUUUACCAGGGGCAUUAGAUUAAGAACAACUAAAUAUUUGGUAUAAAGGCAUGGGACUGUGGGUGCACCAGCAGUCCAGCACCAUGUACCUAAAUAGGGGCAUAAAGUGGUGAUUCAUAGUUUGUUGCCCCGAGAAACAAACAUCCAAGAAACAUAUCUGGGUUGCUCCCAUUUUUGUUCACUCUAGCCACCUACUCCUAUGUGUGGAUAACAAAUCUAGUCCUGGUCAUACCACUGUGUACAAUGUUACCCCUAUAUUUCCCUUUUCGACCAAGAGACCGGUUGGAUGAACAGUCUGUACUACUUUCACCCCCUUUCCUUCCUGUUUGUACCAAGUCCAAUGUACUACCUCCGUCCCAUAAUAUAAGAAUGUUUUUGACACUACACUAGUGUCAAAAACGUUCUUAUAUUAUGGGACGGAGGGAGUACAUACUAAAUUCCCCCACCCCCACUUUAUUUCUUGUUUGAACCAAGUACAAGAUUCGACUCCAUGAAGUAGCUUUAACUCUAACAACAGAAGAAAAAAUAGGUGACGAUGGACCAUCCGAUCGAGAGGGGCUGAGAGGUAGAAAAUGAUGCACAUGCAGCGACGUAGCGAGCUACGGAAGUAGAGCUAAGGCGGUUUCGAAGGAAGAUAUACCUGAAGGCCAUCGGGGUGUGGAUAGGUGGGCGACGGGAGGCCGGAUCCGCCCACACUAGGGCAACAAGGAAGGGAUCAGAGGACCUCCUGCACCGGUGCUCGGCCAAAGAUAACAGUGCGGCCGGCAGUGGGUCUCCUCCCUCGCUGUCGACGACGGCCUAAAUGCUACCCCUCCUCCCCUUCACCGGCAGAGGGGGAUACAUCCGGAUCUAUAACCAGCGAUGAGGAUAGAAAGACAGUUUUUUUUUGAAGGGAGAAAGAUAGUGUUACCACCCUUUUCUUGUUUAGAUCUGGAGAGGAUGAGAGUGUGUGAAUAGAGCAACCCUAGCAAGCAAGUGCGGAGGCUCCGACCUAUAUAUACGUAGUGGGGUAGUUUUCCUUUUUCACUCCAUCAAAACAAUCAUUUAAAAUUGUGUACUACGUGCCAGGUCACCAUUUUUUAGUUGUUGAUUGUUUUUUUAGAUAGCUACCCGCUUGUUCCAAGUGGUGUUAUGGUGUGCCAGGUCGCACUUUGUAUCGUUCAAGUUCGGUACAAGUCACUCCAUUAAAUGAACAACCACCCCCUCGUAAAAAUUGUGAACAAACCCACGGCUAAAAUUAUCGGAAACGUGGGUUGCCCCAACAUGCAUUAUUAUUUACAUUUUCUACUCCCUCCAUUCCUAAAUAUAAUUCUUUUUAUUAGCCACACCUAAGACAAGAAUUUUUUUUAUUAGCAGUGAACCCCACAUGUCAUAGACACAAAAAGUGUGGCAAAAUUCCCUUAGGCAAGCCAAAAUGUGUCUAACAAUUUGAGCAACUCAAGUUAGGCAAGUGUGGCUAGUGUGGGAAAAAUAAUGUGGCAACAUAAGACAAACAUAGUCACAAUUCAAACAGCCCCAUAAUUUUUUGUGACAUGCAUGAAAAUUUGGUUAGUUAAAUUUAUAGUCAAAAUUUGGCAAGGUGCAUCAAAUCAACACAUGCAAGUAUCAAAAGGAAAGUCACGGCAUGCAUGCAUGCAUUGUACUCCCUCCGUUUCCAAAUAUAAGUCUUUUUAGAGAUUGCAACAAGUGACUACAUACGAAGCAAAAUAUGGCUACAUACAUCCAUAUGUUGUAGUCCAUUUGAAAUGUGUAAAAAGACUUAUAUCGAGUGCAGUGCUUUGAUGUGUUGCGUCAACUCGUACAAGAACAAGAAGUUUGAUUACUACAACACCCUCUCCCUCUCGGAAUGAGCUCCGGUGCAUUAACUGCGCCUGCCUUUGGUUGCAUGACAGGUGGGCCAACCACCUAUUGGGACCACCUGUCAUAGACGCGAAGGCAGGAGCAGUAAGUCAAUGAAGCUGCAUCCCUCCCUCGCGCAUGAGCGUGGUGGCUGGCAGGACUAGUAGAAGCUUUCGCUACACGCUAUCCCUCCCGCACGAGGUGGACGGACAUGCAACAGUGGAUUUGAUACUGUAGAAGUAGGAGUAACAUCAUUGUUCGUCUUCUCAAAGAGGCGAAGAGCCAAGCGCAACCCGAACAUGGCAGUUGCAAACGCUCGCGUGGCAGUCUUUGUGUAGGGGUGGGGCAUGGUGAGGUGUCUUGGAGCACGCAUAUAGCCAGGCUCUUGCAUGUUGCAUGAGACAAAAUUGCUAUUUGAGCCCACUAUUGUAGUACUAGUACUACUUGCUAGUACAACCUUGUAAACUGGAAAGGAGUAUUUGCCUUUCUAGAGAUUCCAACAAGUGACUAGACUACACCGCAUGCAGUACUCCCUCCCUUUCGGUUUAUAGGGCUCAAAUCUCAAAUCUCAUCAACCAAGGCAUUUUGAGAUUGGAGGAAUGUAUCUCGUACUUUACAAAACUACCCUAAUUAAACUCAUGCAUUAAUUACGUAGUUCUCUUGUUUUCCUCUCCGCCUUGGUCGCAGUGCACAAUAUUGAGCACACCUAUAUGACUAGCCACUCUAUCUACAUGCGGGACAUCAAAGCAUCCGGGCCCACGUGCCAUCCACCAAAUCACAACGAGGUGCUACAGUCGAGACUCACCAGUCACCCCGGUGUGGCCGUCGUGACUAGUCAUAUCACAAAACCCACACCUUUACCAGUAGUGGUAAAGUGGCCUCGAAGUUGGACUGGACGAAGCAACCAUCAUUUCACUGGAACACUCGUUGAAGCCCUUUCUCCCCUUUCUUGAAGAAAAUCUCACUCCAGGCUACUCACUUCUACCAUUUUUCUUCUAUACCGACGAAGGAAAGGUGGGCGGAUCAGUGAUGCUGCUAUAUUUUGAUUCCAAGAAUCUUCUUUUUGCGAAGCACUGACCAAUUCUCACAGCCUAUUCUUUUCCCGUUUUCAUUGCGAUUGUGGUUUCCUUUUGAUUGCUUUUUGUUUGUCAGUUUAUUGAUGGAUCCUGGAGCGCUAGGCAAAGAGUUGUCGGCGGACAACCCACUGGAGACAGCGAUCUCCAGGAAGCGAGCACCGACCAACGAGUUGACCAUGUUGGCGGGCCAACCCAUGGAGACGAAGAACUCCAAGAAACAAGCACUGGCCAAAGAGUUGACGACGUUGGCGGAAGAACUCCUCAAAGAAAGUUGGAAGAACAGCACGGGCCCUACCGUGCCUACCCUAGAAACUCUGAUGGCCACCUAUGCGAGGCUCAAGGCCGAGUUUGUGGAGAUAGUUGCCGUUGAGAAGCAGUAUUCCCCUUGCAAGGUGAUGGCCCCCAUCGAGGACGAGGAGAUGGCCCCCGGAGGGAUGGGAUCCCCAGGUGAGCUGCACAAGGUAAAAAAUAAUGGCUUAUUACUGUAGUUGUUGUUUUUGAUUAUUUCCAAUGUGCUUGCUAAUAUGUUAGGGUUGUGCAGGUGCCGGUGGAUGUCCUUAAUGAUUCCGAUGUCGCGGCUCGUCCUGUGGACAAUGCCCCAAAGAUCGUUUUUGAUGUCGCGGUCCGUCCUGUUGGCAUCGCCCCAGAGAUCGAUUCCGAUGCCGCUGUCCAUCCUGUGGACAUCACCCCAGAGAUCGAUUUUGAUGUCGCGGUCAGUCAUGUGGACAUCACCCUAGAGAUCGAUUCCCAUGCCACUGCCCGCGCUGUGGUCAUUGCCCGAGAGAUCGAUGACAAGAAAUAGUUGGUUGCGCUAAUCCUUCAGGGUAGUUUGCAUUACCAUGUGUUUAAUUACCAAAACGAUGCGUGUUAUCAAACCAUCUUAGGGCUAGUGCACUGUCUUGUGUGGGCGGUACUUGCUACUUUUGUUUGACAGUGAAUCAUGCGAACCCUCUCCGAGUUUUGGAAACAGAUGUAUCCUCACCAGCUUUUGAUGUAAUAUAUGGCAUGCUUAGAUGUAAGUUUGAACUGUUUAUCAUAUCAGCAGGGCUUGUUUGAUGAUUCUUGGUGUUAGUAGGCUAGCUAUUGUGCGAGCUAUAGUACUUGCCAAACACUCACCGAAGAGAAACUUUAGGGAUGAUGAGCUCAGGCUACGCUUAUACUUAUCCGUCGUCGAUCGGCCAAUAGCCUAAGCUCCUAAAAUUGUAGGCUUAGUCGACACGGAUACAUUCAGGCCUCAUUUGGUUCAUAGGGUAGGAAAAUUGUAGCAAAAGUACGGAGACGUACAACACAAAAUCAUAGCAGUACAGAGAUGUACUCCCUCCGUUCCAAAAUAGAUGACCUAUAGGCGGGCUAGUUUGGCCUAGUGGUUUUUUUUAGGAUGGCCUAGUGGGUUUCAGUGAUAUGACAUGGUACAGUGCCGUCCAGUCUUCGCGUGUGGUAGCAGUAUUGCGAGUACAGUAAGUUUUCUUGAAGAAGCGGAAUUCAACGAAGUCAUGAUGGUUCCUUCGUCCGACCAACUUAUAGUGGGAAAGGUUGGGCCUGCGAUACGAUCGGGGUAGACCAGGAUAAUUUUGUGCAUGGCAGGUGGACCUGGAUGGUCGAUGUCCCACAUGUCGGCGAAUGAAAGUAUUCUUUCUGAUAUAGAGGACGAGCAACGAGUAUUCAUUGUUUAUUUUUGAUGAAAGCUAUUGUCUACACUGUUACGACGGAGGAGUGUGAAACACGGUAGCCCAGUGAACUUGGCAUAUGCGCCACUCCCUCCUUCCUCAUAUAAUACUACCAUACUGUUGACUAUAAGGUUGGCUAUAAGGUUACAAAUUUUUCUCACUUUCUCUCUAUCUAUUUCCUCUCAAAUGUUUUUUACCUUUCUUUUUUAGACACAAUUGUUUUUAUGCCUCUUUUUUUAGAAUUAUUUUUAUUAUACCUAGGAGCACGUGUAGAGAUGAGCCCACUCCUUGACUUUGCCAAUGCCUCUCUCCCCUCCACAUAAGCGGGCUUAUAGCCCAGUAUUUUACUGGUACUAGAGUACUUGCUAUGCAUGCAUGCGGCGGGCAGCUGGCAUCUGAGGGGCCAGGGCGGUCAAAAGUGCGCUUGGAAGCGGUCCGGACUCCCGCAUGGCCCACCUCACAUUAUCACCAUAUAUUUCUUGGAGUCCGUGCGCGGCGGGCAGGCGAUCUCUUCUCCCUCCCCCGUCUAUCUCUUCUCAACCGACGCCCGCCGAGCGAUUACAUUUCGGCUAUCGACGGUUUAUUCAACUGCAGUCCCACAUGUCAGUGAAAUUGCAAGACAACACGUGUCCCCUCUGGUGAGUGGCGUGCGAGCCGGACUGUCGGGGGUGCGACGCGUACGAGUCGUAAGUGUGCCGCCUUUUCCUUUAGAACUUGCAAAGCGUAACAUUUUCACGCGAUCGAUCGAUAGAAAUCCAGAACAAAAUGACGAGGGCGGUGUUUUCCCACUCGUUAGGCAGGCUAGUUUGAGUGAUAUGACGUGCUACAGUGCUGUCCACUUGCUCCAUUUUUAUGUAAGCAAGAGUUUACACUCUUACGUGGGAGGAGUGUGAAAAAAUGCAGAUCUGAUUUUGAUUGAGGGAUAAUGGUUCCCUGCCAAAUAAUGGAGCACUAUUAGCGAUAUAGCAUGAUAGUUAGGGCAUCUCCAGUGCUGGCCCACAAAUUUACACCGGCAUCUGUCCGAGGACAUUGAUGGAUGCCAUCUGAUGCUGCCCGCAUACCUUUCGACAACUAUAUGAACUAACCUGACGAAAUACGUGCAAACAAAGCAAAUUUCAAAUUAACCGGAUGAAGUCUUAGUGUGUGUGUGUGUGUGUGUGUGUGAGAUAGAGAGAGAGAGAAAUGGAGUCUAGGUGUGUGUGUGUGUUUUUGUGUGUGUGUGGGGGGGUGGGUGGGUGGGUGCGUGUGUGUGUGUAUGUGUGUGUUUGUUGUGUGUGUGUGGGUGGGUGGGUGCGUGUGUGUGUGUGUCGCGGGGUCCUCGACGGCGGAUGUAAUUUAAGUGUGCAUGGCUUCAUCAUAGAGAGGUGAUGUGUAUGGCAGAGGCCACCAACGAUGGGGUGCGAGAGAGAAAAUGCCCAUAGAGAGGGAAGAGAAGGUGUGUGCACGUGAGAGGAGUCGACAUCGAGAGAACGUGUUUGUUCGAGAGACACCGGGGAAGACUACUAUAUAUCGAUGGUGCAUGUAGGCAGGAAUUAAAUGAAGGGAUGGUCCUAUUGGUUUCAGGGAUAUAGAGGAAGAGUGAGAGGGGGGGUAGCUAGAAGGAGAUUGUUAAGUGUGAGUGUGUGUUUUACCCAUCCAGGCGGAAGUUAUGUGCACACAAGAAGAGAACGAUUCGAUGUGGUGUUAGGGUUGAGGGUAACUAACUACGUAUGGAGACAUAGAGACCUUGAACGUGCAUGUGCGAGAGGUAUACAUGUAUAUGUGGGAUGUGUGUGUGUGCACGUGCAUGAUCGAGAUAAAAGAAAGAAGACAUAAGUCAUAAGAUGAAUGACAUGGGAGAGACGGAUCGGUAUGACAAUAUGCAUACAUGUGAGAAUGCAGGGAAGAAGGCCCGGCAAUUGAGCAUGUGUUUUUGUCUUUAAGAGAUAGUGGCGUGGGCUGGAGAAUGCAUCUAUGCCGAGCAGAGGGAGUGAGGCAUAACGAUUGUGCAAAAGAGAUCAACUUAUAAAUGCAUAUGUAUGGAGAGACAUAUAUAGUGUGGGUGAUAGGAAGCAAGAGUGCGUGCGAGAAAGAAACGUUGAUGGAGAAACUACAGAUAGAUACAAAGAUGGAGAUGCUAGCUAGAGAGACAUCCGCUAGUUUGAGUGUUGGAGAUGACCGCCGGGUGGUUCAGAGGGUGAAGUUAUGUGUGUGUGAGAGAAAGAUAAAAAGAGGGCACUUGACUGCAUGUAGAGAGAAACAUAUGUAGUGUGCGUGAUAGGAAGCAAGAGUGAGGGCGAGAAAGAAGGUUGAUGGAGAAACAGAUAAAUAGAAAGAUAAAGAUGCUAGCUAGUGUGCAUUAGAGAUAGGAGUCGAGUGGAUCAGAAGGCUGAGUUAUGUGUGUGGGUGUGAGAGAGAUAGAGAGAGGGUGCAUGUGAGUCACAAACAAACAAAUAUCAGAGAGAAAUGAGAUCCCGAGAGACGGAGUUUUGUGUUUGCGAGAGCGAAAGAUAUUUCACAACGAGAGUGAUAUCUAGAGAAACAUAUGAGGGAAUGCAAGAUAUCUCUAGGGAGAGAGAGUGUGUGUGAGCGACAUGUAAGAGAACAGUGGAGAAAUAUGAGACCCUGGGAGACAGAGUUUGUGUUUGUGUGUGAGAAAGAGAUAUUUAAGAGGAAGAGUCGUAGGUUCUCAUACCCAAGGAGCGAAAGACAUCUUUGUAUGAGGGGUGUGCGAGUGGCACACAGGGGAAUUGUAGAGAGAAAUGAGACCCCGGGAGAUAAAGUUUUGUGUUUGUGUGACAGAAAGAGAUUCCACAUGGAGAAUCAUAGUUAGAGACACAUAGCAGGGAGCAAGAUAUACUUAGAGAGAGCUAGAGUGAUGAAGGUCGAGGGAGAGAGUACCGUCAGUGUGUUACGAAGAUAAAAGAUCAUUGUCGACAUACAGGUAGCACGAGAGAUACCCAAGAGACGAUGAACGCGUAUAGGUCUAGAGAGAUAGUCCUAUAUAAGCAUGAGUGAUAGCUAUAUGAGACGAAUAUCUGGAUUAAAGGGGAUUCAAAUAUUUAAAUUGGAGAUCACGACAUCGAUAAUAUCAUAAUGCAAAUUGGUGUAUCAAACAUGCAUAUUCAUUUGAAUUUGGGGACACGUGUAAUGUUAUAUAGUUUAUCAAUAUUGGUGAUCCAAAGAUUCUUUAAUUAGAAACAAUGCAUGGUUUAUAUGCAAUUAGUGUCUAAACGGGAUUACACUAUAUGUUGCGUGUGUGAAACACAUUAUACAUGUUUGAGAAGUAAAAAAAUCCCACAUGAAACACACAUUAAUUGGGGACAGUAAGCAAGGAAUGCAUGCAUUAGAUUUCAACAUAAAGUGGUUUCAAAUAUUUGAAAAUCCAAAUUGAUGGAUACAACCUUAUGAAUCUGAGAUCAUGCCAUUUGUAAACCAUAUUUAUGUAUAAAGGGGAUUGUUCUUUUGAAAGUAUACAUAAAAAUGUUGUAUAUAGAAUUUUAUUCCAAUCAAAAAUGGAUCCCGCCCGAAAAAAUAGAAUACAAACGGGAUUCAAAUUGAGUUGGCACGGUAAACGUGCACUCUGCAAAAUUUGAACGAAGCAGGGAAAGUCGCAAUAACCGCCCGAAACCAAAAUCUGUGAGAUGGAAAUUACUACUGCCUAUCCCUGCCACGCAAAGCCUAUGUGCUCGAUUUCUAUUGGUUUCGAUAGGGGUAGGAUUGUAAUUUCACUCAAACAUGACAUAACCGCCUCUCACCCGGAUUCAUACAUGGUGGGUGCCAAAACACAGUGUGUCCUCGGCCGAAAUCGACUCCCUCCCCGAUUCAUACACGGUGCGUGCCAAAAACAUACUCUCGUCGGCAAAAAUUCGGUGUGUGCGAGAUUACCGAUCUAUCCCCAACCGACUAAUAUUGCUGUGAUGUAGGAAAUUUGAAACGGGGACUAAGUUUGUAAAUUUCCUCGCAUUUGAGACAAGCGCGCCCUAAAGACAUGGUUCCCCCCUUCCUCUCUACCUCCAUUUCCCCAUUUGUACUCCAUGGGCGCCAAAACACCCUCUCCACCCCAGCCUCCUCCGUCCGCCACCCCAUCCACCACCGUCCUCCUCCACCAUGCCGGAGCUGAUACCCAGACGCCACUGUCCAUUACAAGAGAUCGACCUCUCUCAUCCACGGCUUCGGACCAGGAUCCUUGCAUCCUGUCCUUUCGCUUCAUCCCCGCCGUCGUCCACCUUGCCAGCGCUGCUCCUACGACCAUCUCGUCCACCAUGCCCCGCCACCACCAUCUACCCUCCUAGAUCUGCUUCCACGCUGCUGAUAGCCAUCGCUACCGCAGCACAACCAAAUUCUCAGCAGAUAAAUACACGGCGCUACACCAGAGGCAGUACUCUUUCGUAUUUGCUCAACUUAUUUAUCGCAGCAAGAAAAUAGAUCGCCACUUCUUUACUCUGAUUUCUUGUCCAUCACUUACUUGCUAGUUGAAAGCAAACAUUGGUUGCGAAGUUACCUUUGUCCGGGUUGCACCUUCAGGUCCGCCAUGGCACGCUCAACACUAUACUCCCAAUGCUUAUGAUUUUCCCCUUUUAUAUUCCACACUAGUUAAAUCAUAGUAGACUAAAUUCCAAAAUUGGGCCAGUUGAUUUUUCAGAGCUCGCCGGAGUUCCCCGGUGCGAAUGAAGGGGCUCGGGUGGGGACGGUGGUUGUGGGGGCGGUGGUGGGGCCUCGCCGAACAAAGAAAACUCGACGCGGAUGGGGGCGGGGGUGGGGGGUGGGGGUGGCGGAGGAACAGAGGCGGUGGGGGCCGAUGGUCCGGCCAGCGGCCCUUGCGGUGUUCUAUAUGGGAAGAAUCAUAGACGAGGAAGAGGAAGGGUUAGGAGACGCAGGAUCUUCAUCCAACCGCCUAAAAUGGUCGACUGACCCAAAUGACAAAAGUCACGCGACUUGCAUGCAGACAUGCCUUUAUAUUUAGUACCAUCAUCGUACCUGCUAAGCACUGCUCCUGAAUCCAUCAAGCUAGACAAUGUGCCACUCAUAAUUCCAAACUUAUUGCUCAAGUAUGAAUCUGAUAUGAUGCUGGUAUUACUAAAACAGAUAACAUUUAAUUGGUCAGCUAAUGUUCCUACUUUACUUUCGAUUAGCACGUGCACCACAUAUAGAGAGACAGCAGGGAGUUGCUUUCUUAAUGCGCUCUGGUUCAUCAUGUGUGGGCACUGCGCAGCGAACAUUUUAUUAUCCAAAAUCUGCUUGCUCUUCUUUAGCAUGUUCCUCUUCCGUUCUUCUUUAAUAAGUACUCUCUCUGUUCCCAAAUACAAGUCUUUGUAUAGAUUCCACCAUGGAAUACAUAUGGAGCAAAAUGAGUGAAUCUACACUCUAAAAUGUAACUGGAUACAUCUGUAUGUGAUCCAUAGUGGAAAUCUCUACCAAGACUUAUAUUUUGGAACGGAGGGAGUAUGAUAGUAGUAUAGUAUGUUCCUUAUAGUUAAGAUGAGCAGGGACAUUUGCAGUGUAGAGGUCUAUACGGUCGGUUGUGAUGGACACUUUGAACUCUUCAGGCCUCUUUGAUUCAUAGGAUUUUGUAAACAUGGGACUAGGAUUUGUAGUGGCCUACCCACUUGAAUCCUAUAAGAAUAGCACGGAAAUGCGGGGAGCUAUGUCGCCUUUGAGAGUUACACUGGUAUUAACAGUACCGCACCUUCAGUUGAAGAGAGCUGGUAUCCGAAGCCUUUCUAGCCGUACUGGCAAUACUAGCACAUAUAUUCCAGCAAGUUCCACUUUCCUGAUUUUACUCUGAUUCUUAAGGUUUUCCCGUUAUAUCUACACUAUGAUCUGUGUAACUGCUUUGUGUCGCACUAGCAGCAGUCCACUCUUGAAGCUAAACACCGCAAUGACUUACAAAAUUGGCACCAAGGCAUUGAGUGCCAUUCUGGAUGCAAUGAAACUCAUACGCUCCCCACCCAUUGACUCUUGUUCAGAAUAUGAUCCUAAUGACUCUUGUUCAAAAUUGCCACAUAUAGAGAGACAACAUGGAAUUGCAUUUCUUUGGGCGCUGUGAUUCAUCAUGAGUGGGCAACCAACAUUUUAUGCAAUGAAGCAGAACCUCAAGAAUAUGCUUCCUCUUCUGUUCUUUAACAUGUUCCUCUUUUCUUAUUCUGUAUUUAGUACGUACAAUAUGUUCCUUGUCAGGAAGGGGAGCAGGGACAUCUGCAGUCAAUAGCUGAUAGAGCUGGCCUGUACAUGAUCGAUAGGCUUUCAAUUACUAGAGGCAAUACAACACCGUCUUUUCAAGCCAGUUCGACUUUCCUGAUUUAUAUAUCGUGGUUAGGGUGUACCCCUUUUAUGUACACUAUGAUCUGCCUAGUUGCUGUGUGCUCUUGUUAUCAUGGUUUGGCAAUAAAAUCUCUAUAUAGUAUAUUAUGAACCUAUCAUCUGCCAACUAUCCUUACUUUUGGAGCCUAUUUUUUGUGUACUUGUGCUAGAUUAUAUAAAUGCACGCACCAUAUUACAGCACACAUGAGCUCUCUCAUCAGAAUCCAGUGAUAGCACACAAGUGUUUACAGGGGCGCCCCUAUAUUAGAAUAUCCUCUGCAUUACAAAGAUAAUCUCACAACUAUUUAUGUUUUCAUGGUUCUCAGAUAUUAUACGUAAUUACAGUGAAUAUCAGAAUCCGCGCAUCAUACGAAUAUUGUGGAACACUGCAAUGACUUACAAAAUUGGCACCAAGGCAUUGAGUGCUAUUCUGGAUGCAAUGAAACUCAUACUCUCCCCACCUCUAGAUUCUUGUUCAAAAUAUGAUCCUAAUGACUAUUCUAACCUCGAGGAGUCAAAGGCAGAUGGCAUGUCAUGUUCACCCAUCAAGGUGCAUGUUCUAAUUUGGCAAGGUUUUAUUGAUUGCGCGUAUCUUGCAUAUGUUGUCUUGCAUUUCUUCUACUUUGUUGCACAGCCAUCUGCUUAGUUUACUCAUCAUAUAUGUCGAGAUGCCAUGCCCAUCCAUUAUCAAUACAUAUUCCAUCUGUCAUCAUACCAUGUUUUUCCACUCAAAUGUUGUUCUUGUGCAUCAAACAUCAAAAAGGAAGAGGGUGAUUGCCAAACCUGAAAGAGCACCAGGAAAGUCCUUGAAAAACGUGGUUGUGCCGGAGAAAUCAGGCAACACCCCAUUUAUAUUGGCUGUACAACCAGUGACACAAAACGUAGGACCGACUCCAGCAAACUGUACCCAUACUUCACUGGCCACACCACUAGCCCCAGCCCACAGGACCUGGCCUCCAGCAAAAGGUAUGCCGAUUUCAGUUGCCAUAGCACCAGUCAUACCACAAAAAAAAUCCCACUCCAGCAAAAAGUACAGCAAGUCCAUCGGCCGAAUACCUAUCCCAACUACAGAGACGGCCAAUUCCUGCAGAUUGGAACCCCAUUCCAGUUAUUCCCAGUUUAAAAGAUAAUGCUUUCAAUGUUGUUAGGGACUACGUGCAUAUAUUCCCAUCAUAGGAAGAUUAUAGUGAAGACAAACACCAUUUUCACAUCUUCCUGUCCCACUUACGUGCAAGUGCUAUUAUUCAUGGUGAUUAUUUUCCUGUUUUCUACUGAUUGAACACAUCAAUGAUUUACAUUACAUUGUUAUAAGUAGGCGAGGGUCAAUCUGGAUAGUCAUGAAGAGCAAAGCUUACUUGCGCUUUUCAAGGAAGCAUUGUAGUAGUAUCGGUGUUACCUGAGGAAAUCACACUUUGAUGGCAAGUCUAUAAACGAAUUUCUGGUGAAGUCUCCUGUGCUAAAUUUAGAUGACAUUUAAUGGAAAACCCUUGUUAUGCACUAGUCUCGUUUCGAGGAUGAGGUACUGUCUAUGAUAUAGCAUGACAAUUUGAACUUCUACUUUUCCGCAUGUGCCUUACAGAUCUUUUUUGCAGGAAAUAUGCUCGAAAAAGAAUUCCGGUUUGAAAAGAACGACAGGAUAUCGCAAAUAUGUUGCCCGCUGCUUUGCUCUUGUUAGUACCUGUUGUCCUAUAUCACUGUACUUGCAUACAUACCUGGUUCAUUAUGUGACAGGAGUAUGCAUGAUAGCUUGCUUAUCAAUUGUUCGCUCCAAAUUAUCUGAUCUAUAUGAAUGGUUACAUUAGUGUAGAGUAUAUCCAAUGCCAAUGAAGUUUUUUAGCUCUGCAUUGUUCUUGUCAGUACAUGUUGUCCUUUAUCAGUGUACUUAUAUUGACAGGUAGUUGUUCAUGUACCAUCACUCUACAGCUUAUUUUCCUUUGCCCUCCAUUUUCUACACAUAAGAUCUAUAUUUACUCUUACCAUAAGGUUGGAUAACACCGAUGGUACUGAAAAAGUUUAGCUCUGCAUUGCUCUUGGCUGUACCUUUUGCCUAUAUCGUUGUACUUACAUUUAUAACUACUUGGUUAUGUAGCAUCACUCUUCAUCUUAUCUUAAAUAUUCUCCAUUUUUUCUUAUAUUGUCAUAUUUACUCUUAAUGAAAUGUAGAAUAAAGGCAAUGCUUAUGAAGAAGAUUCUAUGGUAAACUUCCUGAAUCCCCCCCCCCAUCAGCAUGGACAAGGGCUUUAUAGAGCCCGCCUUCACCAACAAUGUAAGUUUGUCCUUCUCAAGCCUUCAAACUUUGUUGUGUAUAUUUGGUUAGGGAUGACUGCAAUAGCUGUUUAUUUUUGGUGUUUGCAUCAAAUUGCAUGUUUAAAGUUUAUUAUGUAGUUCAUAAACAAAAGUUUGUCCUUCUCAAUUUAAGAUUUCAGUUGUACAACCAAGUUCCUUCUUCAUACCAUGUAAAUUAAAAGAUACAGAGCAAGUGAUCUUAUUUUGCCAAUCUGAAAUGGGAUAAAUUGACAACACACUAACCAUUGAUACUUAUGAGUUCUUGAUUUGUAAUCCAGUGGUGUCGUGAAGCUGCCAACUCCUUCACAAUGUCAUUUCCUGCCAUGUCUUGACCUGAACAAUACCAUAUUAUGUUAAUGCUAUUUUAAAUUGUGUCACUUUAUUCGUCAGUAAGAAAUGUGAUGAAUUGUCAGCACUGAUACUUAUAUGUGCAAAACCUGUCAUCUAUCUGCUUGUUUAUCUUUCAGAGUGAGGAGGAUAUAAGUGUCAAACAAGCGCAGUCUCAUCAGCUUGCUCAGCUGCUUGCGCUGCAGAUCCUGAGCAGGGCUAACCUUUCUUGAACUCUAUUGAAGUGCUGUCAGUUUUGUAUAUUAUUUUGUCGGCGUGUUUAAUUGCACUGGUGGCGAUCUUUGAUGCCCAAUGUAUGUAAUCAACUGCCUGCUUGUGCUUUAUUAUCAUAGUGGGGAACUUUGAUGCCCAGUGGAUGUAAUAUGCCGUAAUUUCUUUAUUGUAUAGUCUAGGCUUUUUCUUAUUCACGAUGCUGCAGUUAUUUUACUGUAUAUAUCAUGUCUUCGCAGUAAACCGGCCAAACUGUAAAAUUACGGUACAUAAUCGGGCCGUCAUGCAAAUCAUUAUGUAUCAUGGGCCCCGUCAUCUUGGUCCGUUAACAGGCCUAAAUGUAAACUGGCCCACUAGUAGAUUCGGGCCUUUAAUAGGCCGACUAAACCGCCGGCCCUAUUUUUCCAAGAAAACUCAAUGGGCUUUUACGAGGCUGAAAAGUAGGUUGGGCCUGAAACGUGCCGAACAGCUCACGGGCUGACAACAGGCCGAAAUAGACCCCGGCCCGUGAUUGUGCCAAUCAAAUCACGGGCUUAUAAUAGGCCAAAAUUGUCUCGGUCCUUGUUUGGACCAAUCAGAUUAUCGGCUGUGAGCAGGCCGGAUGCAAACGGGGCCGUAGUUAGGCCCAACUAUAUGACGGGCUUUUAACAAGCCGAAAUAUAUAUAGGGCCGAAAUGUUAAACAGGCCUUUAACAGGCCGAAACUAAUAUCAGGCCGAAUUACUAAAUGGGACUUUAUCAAGUGGGCCCAAAAGCAUAGCGUCCAGUUGACGGGUCGAAUCUGAUAUGGGCCAUAAUUUAGCCCAAAGCCUCUCAAAGGGCCGGACCUGAUCUGGGCCGUAAUUUGGCCCAAAAUGUGGUAGGCUUUUAAUGGGCGGGAUCCCAUAUGGGCCUUUAUUAGGCCCAGAACAUGGCAGGCUGUUAAUGGACCAGAUCAAAUAUGGGUCGGCAUUUGGCCCAAAACAUGGCAGCCUGUUAAUGGGCCGGCCUACUAGUGUCAUAAAAAUCUUUUGGGCCUUCAGCUGGGCCGGCCCAUUAUGGUCGGUGAAAUUUCGUGGGCCUUUAGCAGGGCUGGCCCAUUAUGGUCCGCAAAAUCUUGUGGGCCUUUAGCUGGGCCGGCCCAUUAUGGUCUGCAAAAUCUCGCGGGCCUUUAGCUGGUCCGGCCCAUUAUGGCCUGCAAAAUCUUGUGGGCCUUUAGCUGGCCCGGCCCAUUAUGGUCCGCAAAAUCUCAUGGGCCUUUUGCUGGGCCGGCCCAUUAUGGACCGCAAAAUCUUGUGGGCCUUUAGUUGGGCCGGCCCAUUUAAACUUUAUGGGCCACUUUUGGACCGGUCCACAUGUCAACAUUUCAUAAGUGCAUCUCGCCCAUUGGAUGAGUGACACCUGGGCCAAUAGGGACCUGACACGUGUUUCCUCCAGCCAAUGAUGAUUUUACACAUGGAAAAUCUCCAUUGGUCUGGGCUGUUAACGGGUUAUCGGAUCCAAAAUUGGACCCGAUAGCUUAACAGUGUUCCGUUACGGUGGAUGCCACAUGUCGGUCACCCUUGAUGAAAGCACUUCUGUGACGCGUGAUUUUUCGUCAUGGAAGCGGACACUUCCGUGAUGAUAAUUUUGGUAAUGUCAUGGAACACUUCUACGACAACACAGGUAUGACUAUCUUGAUUAUGUCAUAAAAUCGUCAUGGAUGUACAUGCAUGACAGAAAAUGUGACCUACUGUGACAAACACGUAUCAUCACGCAAGUGUUUUUUGUUGUUGUGUAGAAGCGGAACUACCCCAAAUAUUUGGUGGAAAAGAGGGAUGGAAAAGUGAACAAAGGUAUAUUUGAUAUAACGGUUAUUGAUGUGUACCUUGCUAGUGUUCAUAGUAGCCCUUGAGUAUUUGAUACUUGUUCGGUUGCUAAGAUAAGUAACUCAAAACAGGAGUUACAGAAUAAAUAGAGACUAGUUAAUAAUGAAGUGACGAUGUAUGUUGGAAGUGGUUCCAAGAUUGAUAUGAUCAUCAUCGCACACUCCCUAUACUUUUGGGAUUAGUGUUGAACCUAAAUAAAAGUUAUUUGGUGUUUGCAUUGAGCAUGAAUAUGAUUAGUCAUGUUUAUUGCAAUACAGUUAUUCAUUUAAAACAGAGAAUAAUUGUUAUUCUGUUUACAUGAAUAAAACCUUCUAUGAUCAUACACCCAAUGUUGAUGGUUUAUUGAAUCUCGAUCGUGGUAAUACACAUAUUCAUAAUAUUGAUGCCAAAAGAUGCAAAGUUGAUAAUGAUAGUGCAACUUAUUUGUGACACUAACGUUUGGGUCAUAUUGGUGUAAAGCACAUGAAGAAACCCCAUAAAGAUGGACUUUUGGAAUCACUUGAUUAUGAAUCAUUUGAUACUUGCAAACUGUGCCUUAUGGGCAAGAUGACUAAAACUCCGUUCUCCGGAACAAUGGAACGAGAUAGUGACUUAUUGGAAAUAAUACAUACCGAUGUAUGCGGUCCAAUGAGUGUUGAUGCUCAUGGCGUGUAUCGUUAUUUUCUGACCUUCACAGAUGAUUUAAGCAGAUAUGGGUAUAUCUACUUAAUGAAACACAAGUCUGAAACAUUUGAAAAAUUCAAAGAAUUUCAAAGUGAAGUGGAGAAUCAUCGUAACAAGAAAAUAAAAGUUUCUAUGAUCUGAUCGUGGAGGAGAAUGUUUGAGUUACAAGUUUGGCAUUCAUUUAGAACAAUGUGGAAUAGUUUUGCAACUCAGGCCACCUAGAACACCACAUCGUAAUGGUGUGUCCGAACGUCGUAACUGCACUUUAUUGGAUAUGGUGUGAUCUAUAAUGUGUCUUACCGAUUUACCACUAUCUUUUUGGGGUUAUGCAUUAGAGACAGCUGCAUUCACGUUAAACAGAGCACCAUCAAAAUCCGUUUAGACGACGCCUUAUGAACUAUGGUUUGGAAAAAACCAAAGUUGUCAUUUCAUAAAAUUUGGGGUUGCGAUGCUUAUGUGAAGAAGCUUCAACCUGAUAAGCUCGAACCCAAAUCAGAGAAGUGCAUCUUCAUACGAUACCAAAGGAAACUGUUCGAUGCACCUUCUAUCAUAGAUCCGAAGGCAAAAUCUUUGUUGCUGAGAAUGGAUCCUUUCUAGAGAAGGAGUUUCUCUCGAAAGAAGUGAGUGGGAGGAAAGUAGAACUUGAUGAGGUAAUUGUACCUUCUUCCUUCUUGGAAAGUAGUUCAUCAUAGAAAUCAGUUCUAGUGAUUCCUACACCAAUAAAUGAGGAAGCUAAUGAUGACGAUCAUGAAACUUCAGAUUAAGUUACAACCGAACCUCGUGGGUGUUCCAGAGUAAGAUCCACACCAGAGUGGUGCGGUAAUCCUGUUCUAGAAUUCAUGUUACUAGACCAUGAUGAACCUACGAACUAUGAGGAAGUGAUGAUGAGCCCAAAUUCCACGAAAUGGCUUGAGGCCAUGAAAUCUGAGAUGGGAUCCAUGUAUGAGAACAAAGUGUAGACUUUGGUGGACUUGCCCGAUGAUCGGCAAGCCAUAGAAAAUAAAUGGAUCUUCAAGAGGAAGACAGACGCUGAUAGUAGUGUUACUAUCUACAAAGCUCGACUUGUUGCAAAAGGUUUUCGACAAGUUCAAGGUGUUGACAACAAUGAGAUUUUCUCAACUGUAGCAAUGCUUAAAUCCGUCGGAAUCAUGUUAGCAGUUGCCAUAUUUUAUGAAAUCUGGCAAAUGGAUGUCAAAACUGCAUUCCUUUAAUGGAUAUUUCUUAAAGAAGAGUUGUAUAUGAUGCAACCAGAAGGUUUUGUCGAUCCUAAAGGUACUAACAAGGUGUGCAAGCUCCAGCGAUCCAUCUAUGGACUGGUGCAAGCAUCUCAGAGUUGGAAUAUACACUUUCAUAAGGUGAUCAAAGUAUAUGGUUUUACACAAACUUAUGGAGAAGCCUGUAUUUACAAGAAAGUGAGUGGGAGCAUUACAACAUUUCUGAUAAGUAUAUGUGAAUGACAUACUGUUGAUUGGAAAUGAUGUAGAAUUUUCUGGAAAACAUAAAGGAGAGUUUUAAAGGAGAUUUUCGAAGAAAGACCUCAGUGAAGCUGCUUGCAUAUUGGACAUCAAGAUCUAUAGAGAUAGAUCAAGAUGCUUGAUAAGAUUUUUCAAUGAGUAUAUACCUUGACAAGUUUUUGAAAGAGUUCAAAACGUAUCAGUCAAAGAAGGAGUUCUUGUCUGUAUUACAAGGUGUAAAGUUGAGUAAGACUCAAAGCCCGACCACAGCAGAAGAUUGAAAUAGAAUGAAAGUCACUCCCUAUGCCACAGUCAUAGGUUCUAUAAAGUAUGUUGUGCUAUGUACUAGACCUAUUGUGUGCCUUGCCAUGAGUUUGGCAAGGGGUACAAUAGUGAUCUAAGAGUAUAUAACUGGACAACGGUCAAAAUUAUCCUUAGUGAGGACUAAGGAAAUAUUUCUCGGUUAUGGGGGUGAUAAAGAAUUCGUUGUAAAGAGUUACGUCGAUGCAAGCUUUUACACCCAUCCAGAUGACUCUAAGUCUCAACCUGGAUACAUAUUGAAAGUGGGAGCAAUUGGCUAGAGUAGCUCCAUCCAGAGCAUUGUAGACAUAGAAUAUUUGCAAAAUACAUACGGCUCUGAAUGUGACAGACCCGUUGACUAAACUUCUCUCACGAGCAAAACAUGAUCGCACCUUAGUACUCUUUGGGUGUUAAUCGCAUAGCAAUGUGAACUAGAUUAAUGACUCUAGUAAACCCUUUGGGUGUUGGUCACAUGGCGAUGUGACCUACAGGUGUUAAUCACAUACAGAUGUGAAGUUUCUCUAAACCAUGUGCGGUGCCCCCCUCCACAGUUACACACCUCGAUCAUACCAUCGUAGUGCUUAGGCGAAGCACUGCGCCGGUAGCAUCAUCAUCACCGUCGCCACGCCGUCGUGCUGAUGGAACUCACCCUCGUCCUCAACUGGAUCAAGAGCACAAGGGACGUUAUCGAGCUGAACGUGUGCUGAACGCGGAGGUGCCGUACGUUCGGUACUUGAUCGGUUGGCUCACGAAGAAGUUCGACUACAUCAACCGCGUUAUUGAAACGCUUCCGCUUUCGGUCUACGAGGGUACGUGGACACACUCUCCCCUCUCGUUGCUAUGCAUCACCUAGAUAGAUCUUGCGUGAUUGUAGGAAAAUUGUUGAAAUUACCACGUUCCCCAACAUUGUCACUGGGUGAGGACACCACAAGAUUGAACCCAAAACUAAGCACCUCUCCCAUUGCAAGAAAAACCAAUCUAGUUGGCCAAACCAAACCGAUAAUUCGAAGAGAAAUACAAAGAUAUCAAAUCAUGCAUAUAAGCAUUCAGAGAAGAUUCAAAUAAUAUUCAUAUAUAAGCUGAUAAUAAAUCCACAAUUCAUCGAUCUCGACAAACACACCACAAAAGAAGAUUACAUCAGAUAGAUCUCCAAGAACAUCGAGGAGAACAUGGUAUUGAGAAUCAAAGAGAGAGAAGAAGCCAUGUAGCUACUAGCUAUGGACCCGUAGGUCUGUGGUAAACUAUUCAUGCUUCAUCGGAGGGGCAAUAGUGUUGAUGUAGAUGCCCUCCAUGAUCGAAUCCCCCUCCGGCAGGAUGCCGGAAAAGGCCCCAAGAUGGGAUCUCACGAGAAAAGAAGGUUACGACGGCGGAAAAGUAUUUUGGUGGACUCUUCUGGUUGUUUGGGAAUAUUUGGGGAUUUAUAGAACUCAGAAGGAGGUCGGUGGACUCCCGAGGGGCCCACAAGCCAAGGGGCGCCCCCUAGGGCAUGCCUUGGAGGCUUGUGGAGUCCUCAGGACUCUUCUGACUUGGCCUCCAAGCUCCGUGGAUGUCUUUUGGAAAUUAAACAUGAGAAUAAAUUUUCUCUAUGCUUAAUUUCCAUGUUUGCUAGUAGCUAAAGUGAAGAAAAAAAGUCGUAUAGAACAUAUAUGCAAAUGAAUGAUCCUAAUUCUUGGAGAUUGGUAUGAAGGUUAUUUAAUAUACUUAUAUGAUAUCAAGCUAUCGAGCUAAAAUCGAGCGAGCCAAUGCUUGCUCAAGAUCGGCUCAUUUCUCGAUCGAGCUACAUAAAGUGUUCAUACUCAGCUCAUUUCUUUUCGAGUCGAUCUCGAGUCGAGCUGAAAUACGAGUCGAUCUCGAGCGGCUCACGAGUCUCGAGCUUUUCUUGCAGCCCUAGAUACAGGUGUAGUAUGGAUAGUUGAUAUAGGUUUUUGUAAUAUGAUAUUAUAAAAGCAACAAGGUGGCAUAUGAUAAAACAAAGCACAAACGGUAUUGCAAUGCUUGAAAACAAGGCCUAGGGUUCAUACUUUCACUAGUGCAAUCUCUCAACAAUGCUAACAUAAUUGAAUCAUAUAUUAAUCCCUCAAUGUGCGAAAAAGAGUCACUCCAAAGUUCUUAUCUAAGAAGAAAUUAUUGUAGUUAGCAAACCACCUUAAUGUUAUCCUUUCCGAUCAAUUUAUUGAGCCGUCCCUAUAAGUGUCACAAACAUCUCUAGAGUUCGUACUAAAAUAACAUCAUAUGAAAAUACAACAAUCAACCCUAAUGUCACCUAGAUACUCCAAUUUCACCACAAGUAUCCAUGGGUCAAUUAUACGAUAUGUAUCAAACAACUUCAGAUUCAUAAUAUUCAAUCUAGCACAAAGAACCUCAAAGAGUGCCCCAAGAUUUCUACUAGAGAAACAAGACGAAAACGUGCAUCCACCCCUAUGCAUAGAUUACCCCAAUGUCACCUCAGGAAUCCACGAGUUGAGUGCCAAAACAUACAUCAAGUGAUUCAAUAUAAUACCCCAUUGUCACCACGGGUAUUCAUAUGCAAAACAUACAUCAAGUGUUCUCAAAUCCAUAAAAGUAUUCAAUCCGAUAAUAGUGGAACCUCAAAGGUAAAAACUCAAUUCAUCACAAUAAGAUAGAGAGGGAAAACACCAUAUGAUCCACCUAUAUUAACAAAGCUCGCAGUACAUCAAGAUCGUGCCAAAUCAAGAACAAGAGAGAGAGAGAGAGAGAGAGAUCAACAAAUAGAUGCUUGUACAUACCCCUAGCCUCGAGGGUGAACUACUCCCUCCUUAUCAUGGUGGCCACCGGGAUGAUGAAGAUGGCCUCCGAUGAUGAUUUCCCCUCGGAUAGGGUGCCGGGAUAGGGCUCUAGAUGGUAUUUCGAAGGUACAGAGGCGUGCGGCGGCAGAGUCGAAGUUCUAGGGUUAUUUCUAGUGGUUUCUCUAUUUAUAGGACUUUUUGGCGUCGGUCUCACGCUAAGAUGGAACACGAGGUGCCCGCUACCUACCAGACCACCACUAAGGCCCCUAGCACGCCCUAAUAGGUAGUGGCCACCUCCUUUAUCUUCUGGUCCUCCCACAAAGCUUCGGGGGUCUCUUUUGUUCCAAAAAAGUCGUCAAAACAUUUCAGCUCAUUGGAGAACUUUUAUUUCUGCACAAAAACAACACCACGGUAGUUCUGCUGAAAAUAGUGUCAGUCCGGGUUAGUUCCAUUCAAAUCAUACCAAAACCAUAUAGAAUUGUUGUAAACAUGGCAUGAAUACUUCAUAAAUUAUAGAUACGUUGGAGACGUAUCAACCGCCGUGGUCCGUUGGUCGGCACUGGAAUCAGAUCGGGCGAUGCGGGCAAGCUGCGACCAUGGUUGCUCUAUGGGAUGUGUGUGGGGGGGUGCUCGGUGUUGUGCGCGGCCAGCCAUUGAAAAAUGAUAGAGAGAAUAUACCCCACCUGUCAUAAGCUGCCUUAGCCCUACCUGUCAUAAGUUGCCUCAGCCCCACCUGUCAUAAGUUAUGCCAGCCCCACAUGUCAGGAUCUUACCGUGUUAUCACUAUGGGGAGAGAGAGUGGCCCGCCCCCAGCUGUCAGGGUAUCACGCGACCCCACGUGUCAUAAGUUGCCUUGAUCCCCAUAUCAGGAUUCUACCGCGCCAGCACUAUGGUUAGAGAGACUGGACCAACCCCACCUGUUAGUAUAUCAGGCGGCUCCACUAGUCAUGAAGUAGCGGUCAAAGGCUUUGACCUAACAGAAGUGCUCUGUUUGGGCUUUUGUGAGCAGGUGGUGGAGGAGGGAGGGCAAAAGUGAGCUACAUUAGUUGCCUGGGGUAAAACUUAGCACAACUAAGCAACCAGGGGAAUGAAAAUAGAAAACCUUUUAUUUUAUUAGCUCUAGUGGGUCCUUGUUUUCUCUACAUUUUGGUUCUUGGUGACAUCAACAUGUGGUGGCAAUGAUGAUAUGGAAUAAGGCCCCUCUGACUUCUCACUACCUCACGACGUACUAUCUGGCACCGUUGAAGAGUUUAUAAGGGUAGGUGUUGCCAAAUCAGCUGGCAUGUCAAUCAAGGGAUGCAGUUCGUUGGCUCAUCUUUCAAGUUAUUCUUUGACAUGACCUGAUUUUACAACCUUUUGGGCUGGUUGUGAAUGAUUGAAAUCCUACAUUGCGCAGAGUGAUACCCCAACUGAUGUUCUUCAAUGAUUACUAGAUCUCUUUUCUUGCAGUGAGUUACUAUUGCCAGCUUCAAAGGCUGAUAUGGGGUGGUCGUUUGAGGCUGCCCCUUUCCCAUAGUGUCAAUUCAACAUAAUUUCAAGCUAUGGCGAGCGACGUACAAUCAAAGGAAGAAGACAACUAGUAUGAUUUUCUAUGUAAUUUUAUUUUUUACAGGUUGUUUUUGUUUGCAUUGUCUUUCAUACUGUUUUCCUUCAUAAUUCCUUUUAAUGUGCUACUUUUAGGAACUAUAUGAUUUGUGCACGUGGCUCGGUCACACCUGCAGGUUGCAAUCUAUGUUUUUUUGAGUGGAGGUUGCAGUCUAUGUAGUAUGAUGUUUGAUCCCUACAUAGUUGUUGACAUGCUGAUUGAAGCAACUAAUAACCCACAAGUAUAGGGGAUCGUAAAAGUUUUCGAGGGUAGAGUAUUCAACCCAAAUUUAUUAUUUGACACAAGGGAAGCCAAAGAAUUUUCAUGAGUAUUAGCAGUUGCUUUUCAAUCCAACCACGCCUGAAAGACUUAAUAUCUGCAGCAAAGUAUUUAGUAGCAAAGUAGUAUGGAAGUAACGGUAACAAUGGCAAAAGCAACGAAAGUUGUCACGCCCAAUAUGCGAUACUAUCCUAAAGAGACUCGAAGGUCCCACCAAGGAUAGAACCGCAUAUUGAAAUGCUUUUGCAAGGUGGAUAUCAUUACAUCAACAUUACAUAAUAGAUGGGGAUACAUACAAGGGGCAUACAAUGCCACAUGAAUACAACAUCAUCAACACAUAAGAGCAUCAUCCGACUACGGAUGAAACACAAAUAGAAACUCAAAUGACAUCCACCCUGCUAGCUCAGGCUGCCAACCUGGAACCUAUCCCCUGAUCGAACAAGAAGCAGAAGAAGAACUCCAAAACAAGCAAACAUCACUCUCGCGUCAUGAUCAUCACAUAACCUGUACCUGCAACUGUUGUUGUAGUAAUUUGUGAGCCACGAGGACUCAGCAAUCCCAUUACCAUGGGUAUCAAGACUAGCAAAGCUUAAAGGUAAAGGAAGGGGUAAAGUGGUGAGGUUGCAGCAGCAACUAAGCAAGUAUGGUGGCUAACAUACACAAAUAAGAGCGAGAAGAGAAGCAAAGGAACGGUCGUGAAGCUAGCAAUGAUCAAGAAGUGAUCCUGAACUCCUACUUGCGUCAAACAUAACCCAAAACCGUGUUCACUUCCCGGACUCCGCUGAAAAGAGACCAUCACGGCUACACACGCGGUUGAUGUGUUUUAAUUCGGAUCUGGUGUCAAGUUGUCACGCCCAAUAUGCGACCCUAUCCAAAAGGAACUCGAAGGUCCCACCAAGGAUAGACCUGCAUAUUAAAAUGCUUUUGCAAGGUGGAUAUCAUUACAUCAACAUUACAUAAUAGAUGGGGAUACAUACAUAAGGCAAACAAUGCCACAUGAAUACAACAUCACAAUACAUAAGAUCAUCAUCCUACUACGGAUGAAACACAAACAGAAACUCAAACGACAUCCACCCUUCUAGCCCAGGCUGCCGACCUGGAACCUAUCCCCUGAUCGAAGAAGCAGAAGAAGAACUCAACGCAAGCAAGCAUCGCUCUCGCGUCAUGAUCAUCGCAUAACCUGUACCUGCAACUGUUGUUAUAGUAAUCUGUGAGCCACAAGGACUCAGCAAUCCCAUUACCAUGGGUAUCAAGACUAGCAAAGCUUAAUGGGAAAGGAAGUGGUAAAGUGGUGAGGUUGCAGCAGCGACUAAGCAUAUAUGGUGGCUAACAUAUGCAAAUAAGAGCGAGAAGAGAGCAAGCGGAACGCUCGUCAACUAGCAAUGAUCAAGACGUGAUCCUGAAAUCCUACUUACGUCAAACAUAACCCAAAACCGUGUUCACUUCCCGGACUCCGCCAAAAAGAGACCAUCACGGCUAUACACGCGGUUGAUGCGUCUUAAUUCGGAUCUGGUGUCAAGUUAUCUACAAUUGGACAUUAACAAAUUCCCAUCUGCCACAUAACCGCGGGCACGGCUUUCGAAAGAUUAUACCCUGCAGGGGUGUCCCAACUUAUCCCAUGACAAGCUCUCGCGAUCAACGAAGGAAUAGACCUUCUCCCCGGAAGACCCGAUCAGACUCGGAAUCCCGGUUUACAAGACAUUUCGACAAUGGUAAAACAAGACCAGCAAGACCGCCCGAUGCGCCGACAAUCCCGGUAGGAGCUGCACAUAUCUCGUUCUGAGGGCAACACCGGAUGAACACUACGUACAACUAAAACUAACCCUCAAGUUUCCCCGAGAUGGCGCUGCAAGUGGCUCUGGUUCGGACCAACACUUAGACAAGCACUGGCCCGGGGGGGGGCUAUAAUAAAGAUGACCCUCGAGAGAGCGACUCCCAAGGGAAAAGUAGGUGGUGGUGAGGCAAAUGGUAAAACCAAGGUUGGGCCUUGCUGGAGGAGUUUUAUUCAAAGCGAACUGUCAAGGGGGUCCCAUAAAUCACCCAACCGCAUAAGGAACGCAAAAUCCGGGAACAUAACACCGGUAUGACAGAAACUAGGGCGGCAAGAGUGGAACAAAACACCAGGCAAAAGGCCGAGCCUUCCACCCUUUACCAAGUAUAUAGAUGCAUUAAUAAUAUAAGAGAUAUUGUGAUAUCCCAACCAAAAUCCUGUCCACCAUGGAGAAAUCUUCAACUUCACCUGCAACUAGCAACGCUAUAAGAGGGGCUAAGCAAAAGCGGUAACAUAGCCAAACAACGGUUUGCAUAGGAAAGGUGUCAAAGGUUAGAGGUUCAUGGCAAUAUGGGAGGCUUGAUGAGCAAAAGAUAGGUAAUGCAGCAUAGCGAUAGAACGAAACAACUAGCAUAGCAAUGAUAGUAGUGAGAUCUAGGGUAGCGGUCAUCUUGCCUGAAAUCCCGCAAGGAAUAAGAACGAGUCCAUGAAGGAGAUGAAGCCACGAAGACGAACCAAGCGUAGACGAACGAAUCCUCACGAUCGCAACGGAAACAGGAACUAUCAAAAAGAAGCACACAACAUAGUAAACACACCACACAUGAACAAGGCAUGAUUCACAACAAGCAUGAUGCAUGACACGGCUACAUGAAGCUACUCAUGGCAAGGGAUGAUGCAAACAAGAGCAACACAUCAAGGCAAGUUUAAAUGAGGCCGGGAACAACAUAUAACAAUUCCGGUAAGUCCUCAUAUGCAAAUUUCGAAAUUGAUCCAGAUCUGAAUAAACCUUAUGUUCAAGUUGUUAAACAGCAAGUUAAGAUGCACAAAGAUGAUCUACACGAGAUUCUAGUCAAGUUACAUAUAAAGUUCAUUUAGUUCGGAGCUACGGCCUAGAAGAUAUGAGCAAAACAAGUUAAACAUGGCAUUGAUGCAAAAUGCACCCAAACAUCAAGCAAACACCUCAAAACAUGAAUGCAACAUGAUAAUAUGAAACUACAUGCAAUUCUAAGCAAGUUUCAUAUAGAGCACACUCAAAACGGAGCAACGGUUCAACACACACACUAUACAAGUUAUAGCAACAAUCUGUCCAAAACAGCAACUAGGCAUAUUGCAAGCAUCAAAACAAUAUGCUACAGGACCUCAACAUGAAAACAAAAGGCAUGGGCAUGAUGUACAGGUAAAGCAUUACAAAACAUGAACACUGAGCUAACUCCAGAAAUCACUAGAACAUACUCAAACACACAUGGUAAAAUUGCAAGUUAUAACAAUUCAGACUUUGUAUAAAAUAACAUCACGAUGCAAUGUUCAGAGCUAUCAGACAACAUGUUACACGAACUUAUCAUGGAAAACAAAGGCAUGGCAUGAAUCUACUAAUUUCAUAGAUCAAAAGUCCUUUACUGACCGUAAGACAAAAAGGAUCAGAAAAUAUGAUGGCACCCACGUAAACAUGGCAAGUUAUAAUACAGAUUCAAACAUGGCAGAAACAGAAUUAUGAAGGCAUGUAGAUGAGCUUGUGCAACUCACUAUAGAGCAAUACAUGGCAUGGCAAGGCAACCAACAGUAAGAAGACAUGUUUGUGAAGCUAAGCAUGGCAAUAGCAAUGUCAUUGGGUACAUGGAACACUAGGAAAACACAUGAGAACAACUGAACUUAAUGUUAACAGGCUGACAGCAACAUUAUGAAGCAACUUUGGAGCAAGAUUACAAUAAGCUACAACAAGCUAUCAAUGCUACCAGGGGCAUUGAUUGAUAGAGGAUGACAUGUAGAUCAAAACAUAUUUAGUGGACAUCUCCAGAUUAUGCAUAGAAUGAUUAGUAGCAACAUGUUUAUAUAGCAUCACGAAAUAACAGAUUCAGCCUAGCAAAACAGCAACAACAAGUACACUACUUAACAAGCUCGAUUCACUCACCACAAGUCAUUGCAUGACAAGAUAAUCAUAGCAUCAUCAAGAAGACAUAUUUAUGAAACAAACCAAGGCAAAAACAAGUUCAUAGCAUGCAAGGAUCAACUAUAGCAACCUUGGCCAAAUUGAAUAUGUAAACAAUCUGCCAGGAAACAUUUUGAAGCAAAAGUAGAGCACGAAAAUGACAUGCUAGACUACUCCAUAAUUGCACAAAAGGGCAUGAAUGGAUAGAGAACAACCAUAUGUUCAAAACACCCUUACUGAAGUAUCUCAAAAUAUGCAUGGAUCUCUCUGUAGCAUCAAGUUUACAUGGCAUCAAAAUAACAGCAGAACGGGGACUAAAACCAGCAACAUCACGAUGCCUAGUUUGCAUGCUUGUUCUAGUCACCACAUUGAUCACAAAAAUACAUGGUAAGCACCUUUGUAAAUAAGACAUUGCAUAGAUCAAAACACAUGAAGACAUCAACCUCAUAGGAUGCACACAUCAAUCAUGGCAAAAAUGACAAAAGAGCUCGUUCUGAUAACAGACAGCAGAAAACAUCAUGAAGCACUCUUAUAACGAUGAUUGAGGCAUCAAGAUGACCACAAAUGAAUAUGAUGCAAUGGAAUGAAAUGAUGUACUUGUCGAGAUGAACAAUUUGACAUAUUACACGCACGAAACGGAGCUACGGAUGCAGAGAUACAAUGCGAUGAACAUGGCAUGAUGAUGCAAAAUAACAGGGACUUAGGCAUUUCGGGGCAACCUCCAGAUGUGCAAGGUUUUCAAAGCGGCGGCGGAUCUCGCCGGAGCAGGGCGUCGGAGUGGAAGGAGAUGACGGGGCCGGCGGAUCCGGGGCCGGGGAAGGUCGCGGAGGUUCGUCGCCGGAGCGGGGGGGCGCUAGAGUGCGGCGGCGCGGCGGAGGCGGCGGCCGACCCGGGCGCGGCGNNNNNNNNNNNNNNNNNNNNNNNNNNNNNNNNNNNNNNNNNNNNNNNNNNNNNNNNNNNNNNNNNNNNNNNNNNNNNNNNNNNNNNNNNNNNNNNNNNNNNNNNNNNNNNNNNNNNNNNNNNNNNNNNNNNNNNNNNNNNNNNNNNNNNNNNNNNNNNNNNNNNNNNNNNNNNNNNNNNNNNNNNNNNNNNNNNNNNNNNNNNNNNNNNNNNNNNNNNNNNNNNNNNNNNNNNNNNNNNNNNNNNNNNNNNNNNNNNNNNNNNNNNNNNNNNNNNNNNNNNNNNNNNNNNNNNNNNNNNNNNNNNNNNNNNNNNNNNNNNNNNNNNNNNNNNNNNNNNNNNNNNNNNNNNNNNNNNNNNNNNNNNNNNNNNNNNNNNNNNNNNNNNNNNNNNNNNNNNNNNNNNNNNNNNNNNNNNNNNNNNNNNNNNNNNNNNNNNNNNNNNNNNNNNNNNNNNNNNNNNNNNNNNNNNNNNNNNNNNNNNNNNNNNNNNNNNNNNNNNNNNNNNNNNNNNNNNNNNNNNNNNNNNNNNNNNNNNNNNNNNNNNNNNNNNNNNNNNNNNNNNNNNNNNNNNNNNNNNNNNNNNNNNNNNNNNNCGCUCGGGCCCCGGCGGGCCCGCGCGGGUGGCGGCGAAGGCGGACGCAGGCGCGGGUGAUGUGGCGGCGGGGAAUUGGGCACGGCGGCGGGGAAGGUGACGUGUCGCGCCCUGAUUGGGCGAAAUGACAUGUCCGGCGGACAUGUCCGGCGCGGCUGGACAUGUCCGGCGAUGCGGAGGAGUUAGGCUAAGGCCGCUUGGCAAGACUCGGUCCAUUCCGAGAAAGUUUAACACCCGCACACGAAAAGAGGCUAGAAGGGGACGCCGGAUGACAUAGAAGCGCCGGAUUGCAAAACGGACAAUGGGGAAAAGGCUCGGAUGCAUGAGACGAACACGUAUGCAAAAUGAAAUGCACAUUAUGACAUGGCAAAAUGCAACACGCAAGCAAAUGACACGGCAACCACAUGGCAACGACGACAAAUAACUGACAGACACCUGGCGCAUCGGAUCCGGGGCGUUACACAAGUUAUCUACAACCGGACAUUAACAAAUUCCCAUCUGCCACAUAACCACGGGCACGGCUUUCGAAAGUUUAAACCCUGCAGGGGUGUCCCAACUUAGCCCAUGAUAAGCUCUCGCGAUCAAUGAAGGAUAUACCUUCUCCCAGGAAGACCCGAUCAGACUCGGAAUCCCGGUUUACAAGACAUUUCGACAAUGGUAAAACAACACCAGCAAAGCCGCCCAAUGCGCCGACAAUCCCGAUAGGAGCUGCACAUAUCUCGUUCUCAGGGCAACACCGGAUGAGACAUCCUACGAGUAAAACCGGACCUCGAGUUUCCCCGAGGGGGCCCCGCAGUCUACUCAGUUCGGACCAACACUUAGACAAGCAUUGGCCCGGGGGGGCUAAAAUAAAGAUGACCCUCGAGCUGGCCGACCCAAGGGAAGGGUAUAGGUGGUGGUGAGGCAAAUGGUAAAACCAAGGUUGGGCCUUGCUGGAGGAGUUUUAUUCAAAGCGAACUAUCAAGGGGGUCCCAUAAAUCACCCAACCGCGUAAGGGCCGCAAAAUCCGGGAACAUAAUACCGAUAUGACGGAAACUAGGGCGGCAAGAGUGGAACAAAACACCAGGCAUAAGGCCGAGCCUUCCACCCUUUACCAAGUAUAUAGAUGCAUUAAUUACAUAAGAGAUAUUGUGAUAUCCCAACAUAAUCCUGUCCACCAUGGAGCAAUCUUCAACUUCACCUGCAACUAACAACGCUAUAAGAGGGGCUGAGCAAAAGCGGUAACAUAGCCAAGCAAUGGUUUGCUAGGAAGGGUGAAAAAGGUUAGAGGCUGACAUGACAAACUGGGAGGCUUGACGAGCAAGAGAUAGGUAGCGCAGCAAAGCGAUAGAACGAAGCAAUCUAGCAUAGCAAUGAUAGUAAUGAGAUCCAAGGUGAUGGUCAUCUUGCCUGAAAUCCUGCUAGGAAGAAGAAUGAGUCCAUGAAGAAGACGAACGGGAGUAGUCAAACGAAUCCUCACAACUCCGGAACGAAACCGAAGCUAACGAGAGAAGCAAACCGGAAAGAAGCAAACAACAUAGUAAACACUCAAGCAUAACCAUGACAUGAUGCACAAUCAAGUAUGAUGCAUGUCCGGUUUAAUGAGUCAUGGCAGGCAACGUGCAACAAACAAUACUACAAUUUAAGUGGAGCUCAAUAUGCAACGAGUUGCAUAUUGACGAAACACCACAUCCAAUUAUUUAAUUCACUCUCGUUUAUGCUACCCAACAAUAUUAAAUGUUAUUAACAUGGCAAGAGGUGCAACACAAUGAAACUACCUAUCUAGGCAAGUUUAAAUGAGGUCGGAAACAACAAACAACAAACCUGGCUCUGAUACCAACUUGUCACGCCCAAUAUGCGAUACUAUCCUAAAGAGACUCGAAGGUCCCACCAAGGAUAGAACCGCAUAUUGAAACGCUUUUCCAAGGUGGAUAUCAGUACAUCAACAUUAAUAAUAGAUGAGGAUACAUACAAGGGGCAUACAAUGCCACAUGAAUACAACAUCAUCAAUACAUAAGAGCAUCAUCCGACUACGGAUGAAACACAAACAGAAACUCAAAUGACAUCCACCCUGCUAGCCCAGGCUGCCGACCUGGAACCUAUCCCCUGAUCGAAGAAGAAGCAGAAGAAGAACUCCAAAACAAGCAAACAUCGCUCUCGCGUGAUGAUCAUCGCAUAACCUGUACCUGCAACUGUUGUUGUAUUAAUCUGUGAGCCACGAGGACUCAGCAAUCCCAUUACCAUGGGUAUCAAGACUAGCAAAGCUUAAAGGGAAAGGAAGGGGUAAAGUGGUGAGGUUGCAGCAGCAACUAAGCAAGUAUGGUGGCUAACAUACGCAAAUAAGAGCGAGAAGAGAAGCAAAGGAACGGUCGUGAAGCUAGCAAUGAUCAAGAAGUGAUCCUGAACUCCUACUUACGUCAAACAUAACCCAAAACCGUGUUCACUUCCCGGACUCCUCCGAAAAGAGACCAUCACGGCUACACACGCAGUUGAUGCGUUUUAAUUCGGAUCUGGUGUCAAGUUAUCUACAACCGGACAUUAACAAAUUCCCAUCUUCCACAUAACCACGGGCACGGCUUUCGAAAGUUUAAACCCUGCAGGGGUCUCCGAACUUAGCCCAUGAUAAGCUCUCGCGAUCAACGAAGGAUAUACCUUCUCCCAGGAAGACCCGAUCAGACUCGGAAUCCCGGUUUACAAGACAUUUCGACAAUGGUAAAACAAGACCAGCAAAGCCGCCCGAUGCGCCGACAAUCCCGAUAGGAGCUGCACAUAUCUCGUUCUCAGGGCAACACCGGAUGAGACAUCCUACGAGUAAAACCAGACCUCGAGUUUCCCCGAGGGGGCCCCGCAGUCUACUCGGUUCGGACCAACACUUAGACAAGCAUUGGCCCGGGGGGGCUAAAAUAAAGAUGACCCUCGAGCUGGCCGACCCAAGGGAAGGGUAUAGGUGGUGGUGAGGCAAAUGGUAAAACCAAGGUUGGGCCUUGCUGGAGGAGUUUUAUUCAAAGCGAACUGUCAAGGGGGUCACAUAAAUCACCCAACCGCGUAAGGAACGCAAAAUCCGGGAACAUAAUACCGAUAUGAUGGAAACUAGGGCGGCAAGAGUGGAACAAAACACCAGGCAUAAGGCCGAGCCUUCCACCCUUUACCAAGUAUAUAGAUGCAUUAAUUACAUAAGAGAUAUUGUGAUAUCCCAACAUAAUCCUGUCCACCAUGGAGCAAUCUUCAACUUCACCUGCAACUAACAACGCUAUAAGAGGGGCUGAGCAAAAGCGGUAACAUAGCCAAGCAAUGGUUUGCUAGGAAGGGUGAAAAAGUUUAGAGGCUGACAUGACAAACUGGGAGGCUUGACGAGCAAGAGAUAGGUAGCGCAGCAAAGCGAUAGAACGAAGCAAUCUAGCAUAGCAAUGAUAGUAAUGAGAUCCAAGGUGAUGGUCAUCUUGCCUGAAAUCCUGCUAGGAAGAAUAAUGAGUCCAUGAAGAAGACGAACGGGAGUAGUCGAACGAAUCCUCACAACUCCGGAACGAAACCGAAGCUAACGAGAGAAGCAAACCGGAAAGAAGCAAACAACAUAGUAAACACUCAAGCAUAACCAUGACAUGAUGCACAAUCAAGUAUGAUGCAUGUCCGGUUUAAUGAUUCAUGGCAUGGCAACAUGCAACAAACAAUACUACAAUUUAAGUGGAGCUCAAUAUGCAACGAGUUGCGUAUUGACGAAACGCCACAUCCAAUUAUUUAAUUCACUCUCGUUUAUGCUACCCAACAAUAUUAAAUGUUAUUAACAUGGCAAGAGGUGCAACACAAUGAAACUACCUAUCUAGGCAAGUUUAAAUGAGGUCGGAAACAACAAACAACAAAAUAAAUAGAAGGCAUCUAGACCUUCGAGUCUCUUUAGGAUAGUAUCGCAUAUUGGGCGUGACAAGUUGGUAUCAGAGCCUCGACCGACCAUAGGAGCCCCCUUGAUUGUUGGCCAUUGUUGAGUCUAGACAAAAACUAUUUUGAGUCUUAGGAUUAUAUAUAUCGGAGAGUAGGAUUCUUUUUACUCCUCAGCCCCUUCGUCGCUCUGGUGAGGACUCUUGACGUAGAUGUUUUGUCUUUCCUCUCCUCAAAUUUCAUUAAUUUUUUUUUAGGAUCACGCGGGUAUCUUGGAAUCGUUUUGAUGGUUUUGUGACGAGAACAUUGUUCUUGGUGCCUCCUGUCUAUUAUGUGGCAUUGACCCGGGGAGUUGAGCUCCGAGGUGUUGUCGUCACAAUUUAUCGUUGCAGUUCUGGAAUACCUGAGUUUUGCCGACAUCGAAAAUCUCUUUUAUGUAGUUGUUGGUGAGAUAACCUCGACACCACCCAGUACUGGGGAGUUCGGGAGUAUUGCCAUAGCUCGUAUAACAGAUGCUUUUCAAAGGUUGAGGUACAGGAUAUCCAGAGUUUUCUUGGUUAUGUGUUGACGGAUGGAUACAGCUGGAUGUAGGUAUUGUUAGUUUGGGUGAGAUAUAUUGCUUCCCCUAUAUCCCCAACACCAGAUUGCAUAACCAGAAAGUUUCGGGAGUUUUAUAGGUGGGAAUUCCAGUAGCUCCUAGAAUAUCUUUCCGACAGAUGCAUGAUAUGGGAUUGGGUAAAUCUCUAUCAUAUGUAUUUGUUCUGGCUUAUUCUGCAAGCCAAAUCCUUUGUUUUGUUUUAUUUGUGAUAUUCGAGUUGCUUCGAAGUCAAGUGUUGAUCCAUACCUUUCCUAAACGGUGUUCUCAUAUUUCUAUGUGAAUUCUAAUCCUUCUUGAUCACUGAGGUUAUCAUGUCAACUCUUUUCCAACCGGUGUGUUUCUCUUCAAGUGGAUCCGAUCAUUUCAACAUUUGCGAGAUCAAUUCUAAGUUUUCUCAACGGUGUUUGUUUCAUCCGUCCCAAGUUGUCCUUAUUUUCCCGCCCUCCCACCCUUUUCUUCAAGGACUCAUUUAUUUUAAUCAAGUAUCCAUUUAUUCAUGUGAAGUCACUUCACUCUUUUCAAUCAAUGUUCUGAUCCGGUGAUCCCUCGUGAAGAUGCUCACGAGCUUCAAGUUCAUCAUCCUUCGUUCUUUUUCUUCUCCGGUGGAUCCAAUUCAAGCUCUCAGUGUUGAUCAUAUUCCUUUCCUCGUUUCUAAUGCUUUCUCAUGCCGAUGCACCUCUUAAUCAUUCACUUCUUCUUAUUCAUUUGUUCUGGAGUGCUGAAGAUAUCUCACAAGGCUUGUGUUUCCAUUCUCAACCCGUUCAAGAUAUCUCGAGAUUGUUAUCUCAUUCAAGCCAUUUAAUUCAACCGGUGCAAUCCCCCGCCCCCUUUUCAAUCAAUUGUUCAACGGUGUAUCUUCUGAGUGGGCCCUAACCCACAGGUCUUUUCCCAGGAUCUUACCUGACUCUUCUAAUUAUUCCGGAGCUUUUCCCAAAUUCUUUUCAAAGUGUGACGUAAGAAUGGAUUCCAUCAGUCACAUGCCUUCUCCAAGAUCGCUUUCAAAUUCUUUUCAUUGUUGGCUCAACCUCUUCGCUUUUCAUUCUCCCGGAGUAUCUCAGUAAUUUUGGUGGUGUUUCUCGUUGUCAGUUGAAGAUUGAAGAAGAGUUUUUCCUCUAAAUCUUGUCCCUUCUCUCAAAGAUUCAUGGUUCUAGCUUGAUGCCAUCCUCUCAUAAUUGUUUUCGAUUAUGAGAAUUCUUUUCACCCAUCCGGGGCAUUUCAGGAGUCUUUUCAGUUUGAUUCUCCGGAGCCAUCAUCUCAGAAUUAUUCAUUCUCAACGUGUAGUUGUCGUUCUCCAAAUCUUACCAGUGCAUCAUUCAAGUUUUCUCUAAUCAGUUCAUGAUCUCUGCGUUCUCAUGUAUGUACAUCCCCUCAAGUAUCUUCAUUCGUUCCCCAAUUCUUCCCGGUGAAUUGUGCCUUUGCUACUUUAAUUUUCAAUUCUUACGGUGGUUCGUUCAAGAUUUCACUUCCUUCGUUAUCAUAUCAAUUUAUUGGUUGUUUCAAUCCUACCGGUUGUUCGUCGAAGACCUUCCCAAGUUUGCGAUAUAUCUCUCUUAAUCCUUUCUAUGAGAAUAAGUAGUAUGCCAAAUCCAUUGCUUGUCAUCAAUUUAAACUGAUGAAGGAUAGGCAUGACAUAAUUCUUAUUCUUGUUUCAUCCAAGUGAUUAAUUCUUUCUUUCCAAGAGUUGUUCAUCACGUCACAUUUCCCGGUUCGAGAUGUUUCAUCUUUUCGUUUCCGGAGUUCCAAGUUUUCUCGGUUAUAUCGUCGCAAAGCUCCAUCUAAAUCAUCGCAAGGCUUCACCUUGUGUUUUCAACUUCUCUUUCUUUCUAUCAUCCUUUCAUUACCGGAGUUCUUCAUGGAGGCUCUACAUGGUGGUUCGUCAAGGAUUCUUUUCAUUCUUCAAUUGUUCUUCAAGAUUUCUCUUGAAGUUAUGAUCCGUCAAGCUAUACUCUAAAAUAAACAUGGUGCUCAACACAUGUUUUUGUUUUGGAGGUGCUCAAGUAUUCUUCAUCUUGCAUUCCAAAGUGCAAUUCUUUCUACCUUAUCUUUUGAGGUGGUGUUAUAUCAUUCUUGACAAUUUCCAUUCAUGUUUCGCGAUUCACAUGUUGUCAAGAAUGAGGUAUUUUAAAUCCAUUAAUCUCUUCAUUGGAGUUAUCUUGUGUCAUAUUACACCUAAAGCCUUCCCUAAGGAAUGUUGCUAUUGUGGUGCUUAUAAAUGAUCCAAGUUAUCUCUCUAUCAUCUUGGCGAAGAAGUUUUCAUCUUCUUGUUGAUCUCAAUCCAAUCAACUGUUUCCGUUAGUGGUGGGUUGUCACCCCAUAAUUUUGAGAUGUGUUCCAUAAGCCCACAACAAGCUUGUUCUUUUUGUUGUUGGUUUUCCAACAACUCCGUUAUAACCUUCUUGGAAGGGUGCUUUCCAAAUUCAAUUGUGGUAGAAGUUGCCUUUUUCUUCUCCAUUCUUUUAUUUCAAUGAUCUAUCUUCUAUUCUUUCUUCCGGAGGCAUGGUGAUGUUGCUCUCUUCACUCAUCAUCUCGAAUUGUGAGGACCGUGUUUUUUUUCAUGCUUAUCAAUUUAACCGGAGUGUUGUGUCAUCUCUUCAAGUUCUUUUCAUCUUAUCAAGUUUUCCUUCUCCUUUCAGCCGGAGUGCUGUCCAAAUUCUGUCAUUCUUGUUCCUUGGCUAUCUCAUUAUACCGAGGUGGUCAUAUUCUUUUCGUUCGUGAAGCUCUUAUUUCCAUGUCUUUCAACCUCUUGGUUCUCAUCGUAUCCCGUGUUCCUCGUUUCUAACAGAGUGUUUUCUACUUUGUUCAUCUUCGUUGUUUUCUUUCUUUCAUUUUGCUCAACCUCUCAAGGUUCAUGGUUUCACUCGUUUGUCGAAGAAGCAACUUAGUUUUACCUCUUCUCUUCCUCUUCCUUUUCCCUCCGGUGCCAUCCUAGAUCUCGGGACGAGAUCCUCUCGUAGUGGUGGAGUGUUGUAACGCCCCGAGACCGAUGCUCCAGAUGCCUUCUAUUUAUUUUUGUUGUUUCCAUGAUUGUCAUAAUAAAUUGUUGCAUCAUCAUGCUUGUGUUAUUAGUUUUUCUCACUUUGUGCAUUCCAUCUUCAUGUAUGUUGCCAUAUGCAUUUGCAUCCAUCAUGUUCAUGAUUGCUUGCUUGCUUGUGAGGUUUGUUUUAUUAUUAUUAUUUGCAUCAUGCAUUCGUCUCCAUAUGAUUGUUGUGCUUGUUUUCUUUUACUUGUUCAUGUGCAUUGUGAGAUUCAUCUUGUUACUUUACUUGCGCUAUGUAUGUGUUGAUAUUCCUACCACUUGUUUCCUCUCUCAACCUAUCAAUGCACCAUCUUCUCCUCCUUCCUUCUUCUUUCUUUCAUUGUUGCAAGUGACAUUUUCUCCUCCAUAAAUGUCCAAUAUUUUCCUAUAAAUAUUAGACCAUGUCCUAAACCUCUCUGUCCAAAUUCAUGAUAUAUUAAGUUGAUUUGGUUGGGUUAAAAAAUGGCUCAAGUCUGAAUUUAAUUCAAACUUGAAUUAUUUUUCUAUCCUUAAAAGUGCCCAAAGCAAUUUAUCAAAAUUCUGCACAAAUUCUGGACUCCAGAUAUAUUCUCAUAUCUCUCUCAUGCCUUCCCUUUAUCCCUGAGCUUUUCUCUCUUAUUUUCUGUUUGAGGAAAUUGAGAAAAGAAAGAAUAAGAGGGAGAGAGAGAGCCCAGCUUCCAGCAGCAGCAACGAAGUGGCUAAAGUCGCUCCCUUCGAUCCAGGAGAUCCUGGGUUCAAAACCCAGCACUCCCCCUUUUGUCCUCUAUUUUUAAUUUUCUUUUGCAUGCACACACACUCAGCCGCUUGGGACAAUUCCACUUCUGGGCUUGCACCGUGUGUUGAAUCCGGCCCGUGUAUAUUUUUUCCCUAUCCCAUGUGUUUUAGCAUUUAUUCAUUUUCUGCAUAUUCACAUCAAUGCCAUCAUUUUAAAAUGCUCAUAACUAGAUAUCCAUGCAUCCAAAUAGAUCAUGUCAUAUAUGUAAAAUGCUUAGAAUUUCAUCUAGUUUCACUUUAUGCCACUUUCAUCCAUGUUUAAAAUGCUUAAACUUGCUGUUUGCUUUAUUUUUGCAUAAGUGCCAUGUUAAAAUGAUUUAUUUCAUAACUAAAUAACCGUAACUCCAAUUUUUAAUAAACUUUAUAUGUAAAUGGGGUGGAAAAAUGCAUAGAUUAACUUGGUGCACUUUGUUUUACUGUUUAACAACAUUAAAAUAUGUCUUAGGGCAGAACAGUACCAAAUUCAUAAUUUGCAUAUGGGGAUUUUCCGGAAUUGUUGUUUGUUGUUUCCGACCUCAUUUAAACUUGCCUAGAUAGGUAGUUUUAUUGUGUUGCACCUCUGACCAUGUUAAUAACAUUUAAUAUUGUUGGGUAGCAUAAACGAGAGUGAAUUAAAUAAUUGGAUGUGGUGUUUCAUCAAUAUGCAACUCGUUGCAUAUUGAGCUCCACUUAAAUUGUAAUAUUGUUUGUUGCACGUUGCCAUGCCAUGACUCAUUAAACCGGACAUGCAUCAUACUUGAUUGUGCAUCAUGUCAUGGUUAUGCUUGAGUGUUUACUAUGUUGUUUGCUUCUUUCCGGUUUACUUCUCUCAUUAGCUUCGGUUUCGUUCCGGAGUUGUGAGGAUUCGUUCGACUACUCCCGUUCGUCUUCUUCAUGGACUCAUUCUUCUUCCUAGCAGGAUUUCAGGCAAGAUGACCAUCACCUUGGAUCUCAUUACUAUCAUUGCUAUGCUAGAUUGCUUCGUUCUAUCGCUUUGCUGCGCUACCUAUCUCUUGCUCAUCAAGCCUCCCAGUUUGUCAUGUCAGCCUCUAACCUUUUUCACCCUUCUUAGCAAACCAUUGCUUGGCUAUGUUACCGCUUUUGCUCAGCCCCUCUUAUAGCGUUGUUAGUUGCAGGUGAAGUUGAAGAUGCUCCAUGGUGGACAGGAUUAUGUUGGGAUAUCACAAUAUCUCUUAUGUAAUUAAUGCAUCUAUAUACUUGGUAAAGGGUGGAAGGCUCGGCCUUAUGCCUGGUGUUUUGUUCCACUCUUGCCGCCCUAGUUUCCGUCAUAUCGGUAUUAUGUUCCCGGAUUUUGCGUUCCUUACGCGGUUGGGUGAUUUAUGGGACCCCCGUGACAGUUCGCUUUGAAUAAAACUCCUCCAGCAAGGCCCAACCUUGGUUUUACCAUUUGCCUCACCACCACCUAUACCCUUCCCUUGGGUCGGCCAGCUCGAGGGUCAUCUUUAUUUUAGCCCCCCCGGGCCAAUGCUUGUCUAAGUGUUGGUCCGAACCGAGUAGACUGCGGGGCCCCCUCGGGGAAACUCGAGGUCUGGUUUUACUCGUAGGAUGUCUCAUCCAGUGUUGCCCUGAGAACGAGAUAUGUGCAGCUCCUAUCGGGAUUGUCGGCGCAUCGGGCGGCUUUGCUGGUCUUGUUUUACCACUGUCGAAAUGUCUUGUAAACCGGGAUUCCGAGUCUGAUCGGGUCUUCCUGGGAGAAGGUAUAUCCUUCGUUGAUCGCGAGAGCUUAUCAUGGGCUAAGUUGGGACACCCCUGCAGGGUUUAAACUUUCGAAAGCCGUGCCCGCGGUUAUGUGGUAGAUGGGAAUUUGUUAAAGUCCGGUUGUAGAUAACUUGACACCAGAUCCGAAUUAAAACGCAUCAACCGCGUGUGUAGCCGUGAUGGUCUCUUUUCGGCGGAGUCCGGGAAGUGAACACGGUUUUGGGUUAUGUUUGACGUAAGUAGGAGUUCAGGAUCACUUCUUGAUCAUUGCUAGCUUCACGACCGUUCCUUUGCUUCUCUUCUCGCUCUUAUUUGCGUAUCUUAGCCACCAUACUUGCUUAGUUGCUGCUGCAACCUCACCACUUUACCCCUUCCUUUCCCUUUAAGCUUUGCUAGUCUUGAUACCCAUGGUAAUGGGAUUGCUGAGUCCUCGUGGCUCACAGAUUACUACAACAACAGUUGCAGGUACAGGUUAUGCAACGAUCAUGACGCGAGAGCGAUGUUUGCUUGUUUUGGAGUUCUUCUUCUGCUUCUUCUUUGAUCAGGGGAUACGUUCUAGGUCGGCAGCCUGGGCUAGCAGGGUGGAUGUCAUUUGAGUUUCUGUUUGUGUUUCAUCCAUAGUCGGAUGAUGCUCUUAUGUAUUGAUGAUGUUGUAUUCAUGUGGCAUUGUAUGCCCCUUGUAUGUAUCCCCAUCUAUUAUGUAAUGUUGAUGUAAUGAUAUCCACCUUGCAAAAGCGUUUCAAUAUGCGGUUCUAUCCUUGGUGGGACCUUCGAGUCUCUUUAGGAUAGUAUCGCAUAUUGGGCAUGACAAAAGUAACUUAGCAAAGAUCAAUAUGUGAAAAGAUCGUAGGCAUUGGAUUGGCAAUGAUAAUUGUGUUAGAUGAUAUUCAUCAUGUAGCAGUUAUAACCUAGAGUGACACAGAACUAGCUCCAAUUCAUUAAUAUAAUGUAGGCAUGUAUUCCGUAUAUAUUCAGACGUGCUUAUGGAAAAGAACUUGCAUGACAUCUUUUGUCCUACCCUCCCAUGGCAGCAGGGUCCUCAUGGAAACUAAGGGAUAUUAAGGCCUCCUUUUAAUAGAGAACCGGACCAAAGCAUUAGCACUUAGUGAAUACAUGAACUCCUCAAACUAUGGUAAUCACCAGAAAGAAUCCCAAUUAUUGUCACCUUGGGGUAUGCGGAUCCUAACUCGUAAUAGGUGUCUACAACUUGCAAGAUAGGAUCAAGAACACACAUAUAUUCAGGAAAACAUAAUAGGUUCAGAUCUAAAAUGAUGGCACUCGGGCCCUAGUGACAAGCAUUAAGCAUAGCAAAGUCAUAGCAACAUCAAUCUUAGAACAUAGUGGAUACUAGGGAUCAAACCCUAACAAAACUAACCCGAUUACAUGAUAAAUCUCAUCCAACCCAUCACCAUCCAGCAAGCCUACGAUGGAAUUACUCACUCCCUGCGAGGAGUGUCAUGAAAUUGGUGAUGGAGGAAGGUUGGUGAUGAUGAUGGCGAUGAAUCCCCCUCUUCAGAGCCCCGAACGGACUCCAGACCAGCCCUCCUGAUGAAGAACAGGAGGCGGCUGUCAUGCCCAAUAUGCGACCCUAUCCAAAAGGAACUCGAAGGUCCCUCCAAGGAUAGACCCGCAUAUUGAAACGCUUUUGCAAGGUGGAUAUCAUUACAUCAACAUUACAUAAUAGAUGGGGAUACAUACAAGAGGCAUACAAUGCUACAUGAAUACAACAUCACAAUACAUGAGAGCAACAUCCGACUACGGAUGAAACACAAACGGAAGCUCAAACAACAUCCACCCUGCUAGCCCAGGCUGCCGACCUGGAACCUAUCCCCUGAUCGAAGAAGUAGAAGAAGAACUCAAGCAAGCAAGUAUCGCUCUCGCGUCAUGAUCAUCGCAAAACCUGUACCUGCAACUGUUGUUGUAGUAAUCUGUGAGCCACGAGGACUCAGCAAUCCCAUUACCAUGGGUAUCAAGACUAGCAAAGCUUAAAGGGAAUGGAAGGGGGUAAAGUGGUGAGGUUGCAAAAGCGACUAAGCAUAUAUGGUGGCUAACAUACGCAAAUAAGAGCGAGAAGAGAGCAAACAGAACGAUCGUCAACUAGUAAUGAUCAAGAAGUGAUCCUGAACUCCUACUUACGUCAAACAUAACCCAAAGACAGUGUUCACUUCCCGGACUCAGCCGAAAAGAGACCAUCACGGCUACACACGCGGUUGAUGCAUUUUAAUUCGGAUCUGGUGUCAAGUUAUCUACAACCGGACAUUAACAAAUUUCCAUCUGCCUAUAACCGCAGGCAUGGCUUUUGAAAGAUUAUACCCUGCAGGGGUGUCCCAACUUAGCCCAUGAUAAGCUCUCGCGAUCAACGAAGGAUAUUCCUUCUCCCAGGAAGACCCGAUCAGACUCGGAAUCCUAGUUUACCAGACAUUUCGACAAUGGUAAAACAAGACCAGCAAGACCUCCCGCUGUGUCAACAAAUCCCGAUAGGAGCUGCACAUAUCUCGUUCACAGGGCACACCGGAUGAGCAAGACGUCGGGUUGGCAUAGACCCUGGUUGCCCAGGGGGCGCUGGACAUCGCUCGGUUUGGACCAACACUUAGACAAGCACUGGCCCGGGGGGUAAAAUAAAGAUGACCCUCGAGAGCGCGACUCCCAAGGGAAAAAGGGCUAGGUGAGGCAAAUGGUAAAACCAAUGUUGGGCCUUGCUGGAGGAGUUUUAUUCAAAGCAAACUGUCAAGGGGGUCCCAUAAAUCACCCGACCGCGUAAGGAACGCAAAAUCCAGGAACAUAACACCGGUAUGAAGGAAACUAGGGCGGCAAGAGUGGAACAAAACACCAGGCAUAAGGCUGAGUCUUCCACCCUUUACCAAGUAUAUAGAUGCAUUAAUAAUAUAAGAGAUGUUGUGAUAUCCCAACCAAAAUCCUGUCCACCAUGGAGAAAUCUUCAACUUCACCUGCAACUAGCAACGCUAUAAGAGGGGCUGAGCAAAGUGGUAACAUAGCCAAGCGAUGGUUUGCAUAGGAAAGGUGUCAAAGGUUAGAGGUUCAUGGCAAUUUGGGAUGGCUUGAUAAACAGGUGAUAGGUAGCACAGCAUAGUGAUAGAACGAAGCAACUAGCAUAGCAAUGAUAGUAGUGAGAUCCAGGGUAGCGGUCAUCUUGCCUGAAAUCCCGCAAGGAAGAAGAACGAGUCCAUGAAGAAGACGAAGCCACGAAGACGAACCAAGCGUAGACGAACGAGUCCUCAUGAUCGCAACGAAACAGGAACUAUCGAGAAGAAGCACACAACAAGGUAAACAAACAACACAUGAACAAGGCAUGAUGCACAACCAAGCAUGAUGCAUGACAAAGCUACAUGAGGCUACUCAUGGCAAGAAAUGAUGCAAACAAGAGCAACACAUCAAGGCAAGUUUAAAUGAGGCCGGGAACAACAUAUAACCAUUCGAGUAAGUCCUCAUAUGCAAAUUUCGAAAUUGGUCCAGAUCCGAAUAAACCUUAUAUUCAAGUUGUUAAACAGCAAGUUAAGAUGCACAAGGAUGAUCUACACGAGAUUCUAGUCAAGUUACAUAUAAAGUUCAUUUAGUUCAGAGCUACGGCCUAGAAGAUAUGAGCAAAACAAGUUAAACAUGGCAUUGAUGCGAAAUGCAUACAAACAUCAAGCAAACACCUCAAAACAUGGAUGCAACAUGAUAAUAUGAAACUACAUACAAAAUCAAGCAAGUUUCAUAUAGAGCACACUCAAGACGGAGCAACGGUGCAACACAUACACUCUAUACAAGUCAUAACAACAAUCUGUCCAAAACAGCAACUAGGCAUAUUGCAAGCAUCAAACCAACAUGCUACAGGACCUCAACAAGAAAACAAAAGGCAUGGACAUGAUGUACAGGUAAAGCAUAACAAAACAUGAACACUGAACUAUCUCCAGAAAUCACUAGAACAUCCGCAAACACACAUGGCAAGAUUGCAAAUAAUAACAGUUUCAGACUUUAGCAGAAAAUAACAUCAGGUUGCAAUGUUUAGAGCUAUCAAACAACAUGUUACAGGAACUUAUCAUGGCAAACAAAGGCAUUCCAUGAUACUACUAAAUGCAUAUAUCAAAUGUCCUUUACUGACCAUAAGCCAAAAAGGAUCAGAAAAUAUGAUGGCACCCACGUAAACAUGGCAAGUUAUAUUACAGAUUCAUACAUGGCAGGAACAGAAUUAUGAAGGCAUGUAGAUGAGCUUGUGCAACUCACUACAAAGUAAUAUAUGGCAUGAAAAUGCAACCAACAGUAACAAGACAUGUUUAUGGAGCAAAGCAUGUCAAGAGAAAGUUCAUAGGGUGCAUGGAUCACUAGGAAUCACAUGGCAAAACUGAACUUCAUGUUAACAGGCUGACAGCAACAUCAUUUAGCAAGUUUGGAGCAAGAUAUGAACAACCUACAGCAAGCUAUAAAUUCAACCAGGGGCAUGGAUGGAUAGAGCAUAACCAUAUGUUCAAAACAUCCUUACGGAAGUAUCUCAAAAUAAGCAUGGAUCUCUCUGUAGCAUCAAGUUUACAUGGCAUAAAAAUAACAGAAGAACAGAGACUGAAAUCAGCAACAUCACGAGGCCUAGUUUACACUCUUGUGCUAGUCACCACAUUGAUCACAAAAAUACAUGGCAUACACCCCUGGAAAGAUGGCAUGGCAUAGAUCAAAACAUAUGUAGACAUGAACCUCAUAGGAUGCACACAUCAAUCAUGGCAAAAAUGACAAAUGAGCAUGUUAUAACAGAUUCAGCAGAUUAACAACAACAUGCACUCUUGCAACGAUGAUUCAGGCAUCAAGAUGAGCUCAAAUGAACAUGAUGCAAUGGAAUGAAAUGAUGCACUCGUUGAGGCGAACAAUUUGACAUAUUACACGCACAAAACGGAUCUAUGGAUGCAGAGAUACGAUGCGAUGAACAUGACAUGAUAAUGUCAAAAUAUAGGGACUUAGGCAUAUUUUAGGGGGAAAAACAUGCGGGCGCAAUAUAAUUAUGUGACGCCCGGGCGGGGAUUAGGUGUCCUGCUCACCUAGUGGGCUCGGCCCAGGUUGCGGGGAGGAGGUUGGCCAGGCCGGGCGGGGCUGGGCCGGCAGCAGGCCGGUUCGGGGCCCACGCGGGGGUGGCGAACGGAGGCGUCGUCCUCCUUGAUCGGAUCGGCCGCGAGCAGGACCAGGGCGGCGGCGGCCGGCGGUCAACGGUGAUGGGGAGGUGCUCCGGCGAGGGGCGGAGGCCGGGGAAGGCCGGAAUAGGGAGAUCCGGGGUCGGGGAUCCCGGAUCCGGCGAACACCGGGGGCGCGGAGGUCAGCGACGAGCUCGGCGGCGGGGAUGGCUUACUCCGGCGAUGGGGCCGGUGACCCUGUGCGAGAGAGAGAGAGAGAGAGAGAGAGAGAGAGAGAGGCGGGGUCAGGGAGAGAGAGGAGGAAGCCGGACGGGGGGCGGUGCGACCUGGCGUGGCGGCGUGGAUGCUUACCGGCGGCAGGGACGGGAGGCAAGGCGGCGGGGCGCCAGACUCCGGCGACGGCGGCAUUGCGCGGACGGAGGAGCCACGGGGCUCUGGCGCGUGCGCGGGCUACUGCGGGCUACGGCGGCGCGACUCGGACUUUGCGCGGGCCCGCGAUGGGCUCAGCGGGCCGCGGCCGUGGGGGAAGGCUGGGUGGCGACGUGGCGGCUGCGGGUUGGCCGGGACAGCGGCGACAAUGACGUGGCAGGCCGCGAUUGGCCGGAGUGAGGUGGCUGCGGGGCGGUGGACGCGUCCGGCGACGGGCGGACAUGUCCGGCGGCUGAGAGGGAGAGGGCUAGGGUUUCAUCUGCGAUUUGGACGGGGAGGGACACAUAUUUAUAGGUAGAGGGAGCUAGGAGAGUCCAAAUGAGGAGCGGUUUUCGGCCACGCGAUCGUGAUCGCACGACCGAGAGCAUGGAGGGGAGUUAGAUGGGUUUUGGGCCACUUUGGAGGGGUUGCUGGGCUGCAAGAGAAAAGGGGGUUUACGGUUACCCGGUUAACCGUUGGAGUACCAAACGAACCCCAAAUGGCACGAAACUUGAUAGGUGGUCUACCAGCGGUAUACCAAGGCCACUUGGCAAGCCUCGUGCCAUUCCGAGAAAGUUUAACACCCGCUCACAACGAGAGAUGAAAGAGGAACGCCGGAGGACAUAGGAGCGCCGGAUUGCAAAUUGGACAACGGGGAAAAUGCUCGGAUGCAUGAGACGAACACGUAUGCAAUGCAAUGCGUAUGAUGACAUGAUAAAAUGCAACACGCCAGCAAAUGACAUGGCAACGACGGCGAAUAACUGGCGGACACCUGGCGCAUCGAAUCUGGGGCGUUACAACACUCCACUAACAAGAGAUCUCGUCCCGAGAUCAUAGGACCGAGACGAAAGGGAAAAGGAUGAGGUGAAGCAAGAACUGAAGAGAAGAAGCAAAGAAUCGAGAGCACUCGAGAAGAAGAGAGGAACGACGAGAAUGAAGAGAAUCGAAAGCUCACGGAAUCAGAUAGACUAUGAAACCACUCCGGUUAUAAUGAGAUAAGAAACAAAUAAGACUGAAAGGAUUUAGGCAGCACUCCGGUUGAAUAAGGAAAGAAUAGAAGAUGAGCUUCACCCAAAGAGAUGGCACUUGACGAGAUGAACAAUGCAAUGCCUCCGGAAGAAUUGAAAGAAUUUAAUGAAAAGAACUUAGCAGGAAGGGAUGAACAGAGUUGUUGAGAAAAUGAACAACGAAAGAAUAAGCUUGUUGUGGUCUUAUAGAUAACAUCUCAAAAUUAUGAGGUGAUAACCGGCACAAAUGGAAAUGAUUGAAUAGCUGAGAAGAACGAAGAAAUGCAAAACUCCACUUCAAAAGAAUACGGAGAAUUACUUGCACAUCGAGAUGCGAGAAGAAAAGAUACUUGAACUCCAGCAAUAAGAAUCUUGAUGAACACUUGAAGAAAAGAAUUGAAUCAUGAAGAACCACCAUGAGGAACUCCGGUGACAAAAGGAUGAUGAGAUAAAAUUGAAGGAUGAAAGAAUAAGAUGAGCCUUGCGAUGAUUUAGAUGGAGGUUCCGACGAAAUGGCUGAGGAAAAUUUGAACUCCGGAAAAGAAAAGAUGAAAACACUUGGAACUAGAAUUUAUUCAUCAAGAACAAACUCCGAAGAAAAAGAGAUUAAUCACUUUGAGGAAAUAAGAAUAAGAUUUAUUGUAUGCUUCUCCUUCAUCAAAUUAAAUUGAUGACAAGCAAUGGAUUUUUGCAUACUACUUAUUCUUAUUGAAAAGGAUUGAGAAGUGACAUAACGCAAACUUGAGAAAGUCUUCAUGAACCACCGGUAGGAUUGAAAAGAACGAAUGAAUUGAUAUGAUAAUCAAAGAAAAAGAAUCUUGAACGAACCACCGUAAGAAUUCGAAAAUGACUGAUGAAGGAGAAUGAAACACCGGGAAGAAUUAGAAAACAAAUAUGCUUGAGGGGAUUUAGAUGCCAGAGAACGGGAAGAACUCGAGCUGUUUAACGAACAUUUGAACGAAGCGUCGGGACAAAUAGAGAACGAUAACUGGAAUGAUGGCCUUUGGUGAAAGAAACGGAAAAACAACUUCUGACAUACUCCGGAUGGUUAAGAAAAGACCAACUGACGAAUGGAAUAAUUCGAAAGGAUAGCAUGAAGCUAAAAGCACGAAACUUCGAGAGAACUGGCAAGAUUUAGAGGAAGACUCUUCUUCGGUCUUCAAAUGACGAUGAGAAACACCACCAAAAUUACUGAGAUACUCUGGGAGAAUGAAAAAUGAAGAGGUUGAGCCAACAAUGAAAUGAAUUGAAAUCGAUCUUGUAAAAGCAUCUGACUGAUGAAAUUCAUUCUUACGUCAGACUUGAAAAGAAUUUGAGAAUAGCUCCGGGGUAAUUAGAAGAGUCAGGUAAGAUCCUAGGAAAAGACCUGCAGGUUAGGGCCCACUAAGAGAAAACACCGUUGGAAAAGAUUGUUGAACAGAUAGAUGAUGCACCGGAACAAUUGAAAUAUUUGAAUUAGGUGCCAACCUCGAAUUAAUUCGAACACAGACAAAUCUCUUGAGAUAUCUUGAGCACCGGAAUGAUUGAAUGGCGAGAGGCAAACGAGCAAGGAGAACACUUCGAAGGAAAAGAAUAUGAUUAACCCAAAAGACUUGAAUUGGGUCCACCGGAAAAAGAAAGGGAUGACGAAUUACGAAUGAGACGAGAAUUCACCGGUUGAAACAAUUGAUGAAAGACUGAAGGGUUCCGCACGAAUGAAAUUGAUGCUCGAAAGAGACUCAAACUCCGGGAAGAAAAGGGUGGGAGGGCGGGAAAACAAAGGCAACUUGGAAGGGGAAACCGUCGAAUAACUUGAAGAGAAGACACAGGUUGAAAGAAAGCAAAGGCUUCACACGAGUAGGAUGGAUACUCGAUUACGAACUCCGGCUUCGAGAAGAAAAAGGGUGGGAGGGUGGGAAAAGAAAACAACUGAGGAUUGAACUCAAAGAUGAAGAGGCUCGAAUCAACUUGACGAGAAAUGCACCGGAUGAAAAGAGCUGAGGAACAACGAUCGGAAAACCAAUUGCGUGAUCCUAAAGAAAAAUUUGAAGGGGAAGAGGAGUAAUUCAAAACACCUACGUCAAGAUUCCUUACCAGAGCGACGAAGAGGCUGAGGAGUAAAAAGAAUUCCUACUCUCCGAUAUAACUAGACUCCGAAAACAGUUUUCUUCUAGACGCAACAACGGCCAAACUACACGAUCAAUCAAGGGGGCUCCUAGGGUAGGUCGAGGCUCUGAUACCAACUUGUCACGCCCAAUAUGCGACCCUAUUCAAAAGGAACUUGAAGGUCCCACCAGGGAUAGACCAGCAUAUUGAAACGCUUUUGCAAGGUGGAUAUCAUUACAUCAACAUUACAUAAUAGAUGGGGAUACAUACAAGAGGCAUACAAUGCCACAUGAAUACAACAUCACAAUACAUGAGAGCAACAUCCGACUACGGAUGAAACACAAACAGAAGCUCAAACGACAUCCACCCUGCUAGCCCAGGCUGCCGACCUGGAACCUAUCCCCUGAUCGAAGAAGUACAAGAAGAACUCAAGCAAGCAAGCAUCGCUCUCGCGUCAUGAUCAUCGCAAAACCAGUACCUGCAACUGUUGUUGUAGUAAUCUGUGAGCCACGAGGACUCAGCAAUCCCAUUACCAUGGGUAUCAAGACUAGCAAAGCUUAAAGGGAAUGGAAGGGGGUAAAGUGGUGAGGUUGCAGCAGCGACUAAGCAUAUAUGGUGGCUAACAUACGCAAAUAAGAGUGAGAAGAGAGCAAACGGAACGAUCGUCAACUAGUAAUGAUCAAGAAGUGAUCCUGAACUCCUACUUACGUCAAACAUAACCCAAAGACCGUGUUCACUUUCCGGACUCCGCCGAAAAGAGACCAUCACGACUACACACGUGGUUGAUGCAUUUUAAUUCGGAUCUGGUGUCAAGUUAUCUACAACCAGAGAUUAAAAAUUCCCAUUUGCCUAUAACCGCAGGCAUGGCUUUCGAAAGAUUAUACCCUGCAGGGGUGUCCCAACUUAGCCCAUGAUAAGCUCUCGCGAUCAACGAAGGAUAUUCCUUCUCCCAGGAAGACCCGAUCAGACUCGGAAUCCCGGUUUACAAGACAUUUCAACAAUGGUAAAACAAUACCAGCAAGACCUCCCGCUGUGCCGACAAAUCCCGAUAGGAGCUGCACAUAUCUCGUUCUCACGGCACACCGGAUGAGCAAGACGUCGGGUUGGCAUAGACCCUGGUUGCCCAGGGGGCGCAGGACAUCGCUCGGUUUGGACCAACACUUAGACAAGCACUGGCCCGGGGGGGUAAAAUAAAGAUGACCCUCAAGAGCGCGACUCCCAAGGGAAAAAGGGCUAGGUGAGGCAAAUGGUAAAACCAAUGUUGGGCCUUGCUGGAGGAGUUUUAUUCAAAGGGAACUAUCAAGGGGGUCCCAUAAAUCACCCGACCGCGUAAGGAACACAAAAUCCGGGAACAUAACACCGGUAUGACGGAAACUAGGGCGGCAAGAGUGGAACAAAACACCAGGCAUAAGGCCGAGUCUUCCACCCUUUACCAAGUAUAUAGAUGCAUUAAUAAUAUAAGAGAUAUUGUGAUAUCCCAACCAAAAUCCUGUCCACCAUGGAGAAAUAUUCAACUUCACCUGCAACUAGCAACGCUAUAAGAGGGGCUGAGCAAAGCGGUAACAUAGCCAAGCAACGGUUUGCAUACGGAAGGUGUCAAAGGUUAGAGGUUCAUGGCAAUUUGGGAUGGCUUGAUAAACAGGUGAUAGGUAGCGCAGCAUAGCGAUAGAACGAAGCAACUAGCAUAGCAAUGAUAGUAGUGAGAUCCAGGGUAGCGGUCAUCUUGCCUGAAAUCCCGCAAGGAAGAAGAAUGAGUCCAUGAAGAAGACGAAGCCACGAAGACGAACCAAGCGUAGACGAACGAGUCCUCACGAUCGCAACGAAACAGGAACUAUCGAGAAGAAGCACACAACAAGGUAAACAAACAACACAUGAACAAGGCAUGAUGCACAACCAAGCAUGAUGCAUGACAAAGCUACAUGAGGCUACUCAUGGCAAGAGAUGAUGCAAACAAGAGCAACACAUCAAGGCAAGUUUAAAUGAGGCCGGGAACAACAUAUAACAAUUCCGGUAAGUCCUCAUAUGCAAAUUUCGAAAUUGGUCCAGAUCUGAAUAAACCUUAUAUUCAAGUUGUUAAACAGCAAGUUAAGAUGCACAAGAAUGAUCUACACGAGAUUCUAGUCAAGUUACAUAUAAAGUUCAUUUAGUUCGGAGCUACGGCCUAGAAGAUAUGAGCAAAACAAGUUAAACAUGGCAUUGAUGCGAAAUGCAUACAAACAUCAAACAAACACCUCAAAACAUGGAUGCAACAUGAUAAUAUGAAACUACAUACAAAAUCAAGCAAUUUUCAUAUAGAGCACACUCAAAACGGAGCAACGGUGCAACACAUACACUCUAUACAAGUCAUAACAACAAUCUGUCCAACACAGCAACUAGGCAUAUUGCAAGCAUCAAAACAACAUGCUACAGGACCUCAACAAGAAAACAAAAGGCAUGGACAUGAUGUACAGGUAAAGCAUAACAAAACAUGAACACUGAACUAUCUCCAGAAAUCACUAGAACAUGCGCAAACACACAUGGCAAGAUUGCAAAUAAUAACAGUUUCAGACUUUAGCAGAAAAUAACAUCAGGUUGCAAUGUUUAGAGCUAUCAAACAACAUGUUACAGGAACUUAUCAUGGCAAACAAAGGCAUGGCAUGAUACUACUAAACGCAUAGAUCAAAUGUCCUUUACUGACCAUAAGCCAAAAAGAAUCAGAAAAUAUGAUGGCACCCACGUAAACAUGGCAAGUUAUAUUACAGAUUCAUACAUGGUAGGAACAGAAUUAUGAAGGCAUGUAGAUGAGCUUGUGCAACUCACUACAGAGCAAUAUAUGGCAUAGAAAGGCAACCAACAGUAAGAAGACAUGUUUAUGGAGCAAAGCAUGUCAAGAGCAAGUUCAUAGGGUGCAUGGAUCACUAGGAAAUCACAUGGCAAAACUGAACUUCAUGUUAACAGGCUAACAGCAACAUCAUUUAGCAAGUUUGGAGCAAGAUAUGAACAACCUACAGCAAGCUAUAAAUUCAACCAGGGGCAUGGAUGGAUAGAGCAUAACCAUAUGUUCAAAACAUCCUUACUGAAGUAUCUCAAAAUAAGCAUGGAUCUCUCUGUAGCAUCAAGUUUACAUGGCAUAAAAAUAACAGCAGAACAGGGACUAAAAUCAGCAACAUCACGAGGCCUAGUUUACAUGCUUGUGCUAGUCACCACAUUGAUCACAAAAAUACAUGUCAUACACCCUUGGAAAGAUGGCAUGGCAUAUAUCAAAACAUAUGUAGACAUCAACCUCAUAGGAUGCACACAUCAGUCAUGGCAAAAAUGACAAAUGAGCAUGUUAUAACAGAUUCAGCAGAUUAACAGCAACAUGCACUCUUGCAACGAUGCUUCAGGCAUCAAGAUGAGCUCAAAUGAACAUGAUGCAAUGAAAUGAAAUGAUGCACUCGUUGAGAUGAACAAUUUAACAUAUUACACGCACAAAACGGAUCUACGGAUGCAGAGAUACGAUGCGAUGAACAUGGCAUGAUAAUGUCAAAAUACAGGGACUUGGGCAUAUUUCAGGGAAAAAACAUGUGGGCGCAAUAUAAUUAUGUGACGCCCGGGCGGGGAUUAGGUGUCCUGCUCACCUAGUGGGCUCGGCCCAGGUUGCAGGGAGGAGGUUGGCCAGGCCGGGCGGGGCUGGGCCGGCAGCAGGCCGGUUCGGGGCCCACGCGGGGGUGGCGAACGGAGGCGUCGUCCUCCUGGAUCGGAUCGGCCGCGAGCAGGACCAGGGGCGGCGGCGGCCGACGGUCAACGGCGAUGGNNNNNNNNNNNNNNNNNNNNNNNNNNNNNNNNNNNNNNNNNNNNNNNNNNNNNNNNNNNNNNNNNNNNNNNNNNNNNNNNNNNNNNNNNNNNNNNNNNNNNNNNNNNNNNNNNNNNNNNNNNNNNNNNNNNNNNNNNNNNNNNNNNNNNNNNNNNNNNNNNNNNNNNNNNNNNNNNNNNNNNNNNNNNNNNNNNNNNNNNNNNNNNNNNNNNNNNNNNNNNNNNNNNNNNNNNNNNNNNNNNNNNNNNNNNNNNNNNNNNNNNNNNNNNNNNNNNNNNNNNNNNNNNNNNNNNNNNNNNNNNNNNNNNNNNNNNNNNNNNNNNNNNNNNNNNNNNNNNNNNNNNNNNNNUGGGUGGCGACGUGGCGGCUGCGGGUUGGCCGGGACGGCGGCGACGACGACGUGGCAGGCCGCGAUUGGCCGGAGUGAGGUGGCUGCGGGGCGGUGGACGCGUCGGGCAGCGGGCGGACAUGUCCGGCGGCUGAGAGGGAGAGGGCUAGGCUUUCAUCUGCGAUUUGGACGGGGAGGGACACAUAUUUAUAGGUAGAGGGAGCUAGGAGAGUCCAAAUGAGGAGCGGUUUUCGGCCACGCGAUCGUGAUCGAACGACCGAGAGCAUGGAGGGGAGUUAGAUGGGUUUUGGGCCACUUUGGAGGGGUUGCUUGGCUGCAAGAGAAAAGGGGGUUUACGGUUACCCAGUUAACAGUUGGAGUAGCAAACGAACCCCAAAUGGCACGAAACUUGACAGGCGGUCUACCGGCGGUAUACCAAGGCCACUUGGCAAGCCUCGUGCCAUUCCGAGAAAGUUUAACACCCGCUCACAAUGAGAGACGAAAGGGGAACGCCGAAGGACAUAGGAGCGCCGGAUUGCAAAACGGACAACGGGGAAAAUGCUCGGAUGCAUGAGACGAACACGUAUGCAAUGCAAUGCGUAUGAUGACAUGAUAAAAUGCAACACGCAAGCAAAUGACAUGGCAACGACGGCGAAUAACUGGCGGACACCUGGCGCAUCGAAUCCGGGGCGUUACAGCGGCAGCAGCUCCGUAUCAUAAAACACGAUGAUUCCUUCUCUCUGAUUUUUUUUCUCCUUGAAUAGGGUUAUAUAGAGUUGGAGUUGAGGUCAUAGGAGGUCCAGGGGGCCCAAAAGCCCUUUAGGCAUGCCCCAGGGGGGCGCUCCCUAGGCUUGUGGCCUCUGGGUGGACCCCCUCUUGUUAAUUCUUGCUCCAGUAUUUUUACAUAUUCCACAAAAAUUCUCCAUAAAUUUUCAGGUCAAUCCGAGAACUUUGAUUUCUGCACAAAAAUAACACCAUGGCAAUUCUGCUAAAAGCAACGUCAGUCCGGGCUAGUUUCAUUCAUCAUGCAAAUUAGGGUCCAAAACAAGGGAAAAGUAGUUUGGAAAAGUAGAUGUGAUGGAGACAUAUCAACUCCCCGAAGCCUAACCCGUUGCUUGUCCUCAAGCAAUUCAGGUGACAAACUGAAAGUGACAAAGAAAAACUUUUACAAACUCUGUUUGAUCUUAUUGUUGCAAAUAUGUCUAGCCAAUAUUCAAAUUUUCAGCAAAGGUUGAGAACUAACCAUAUUGACAAUAACAUUUAGGUCUCACGUUUACACAUAUUAAUGGCAUAAUAACCCCGCGAGUAAUAAUAAUAAAUCUUGGAUGACAACACUUUUUUCAAAACAAUCAUGAUACAAUAUGAUAAAAUGGUAUCUCGCUAGCCCUUUCUGAGACCGCAAAACAUAAAUGCGGAGUACCCCUGAAGAUCAAGGACUAACUAGACAUUAUAAUUCAUGGCAAAAGAGAUCCAGUCACACUCAUACUCAACAUGAAUUAAUAACAAAGCAUACAAAUGACAGUGGUGCUCUCUAACUGGUUCUUUUUAUAAGAGGAUGAUGACUCAACAAUAAAAGUAAAUAGAUAGGCCAUUCGCAGAGGGAAGCAGGUGUGACAGCCUGGAUUUGCCUUCUCUCUUUUCCCGGACUUUCUUGUGCCUUUGCUUUGGAUUUGGAGUUUGGAAUCAAUUCAAAUGGACUUGAGCACAUGGGCCUACCCUUGAUUUUCACCCAAGUGACCCAUCCACCCCUAACUCAACUUUCUUUCUCGGAAAAACUCCCAAAAAUGACCCAAGGAAUAUUUUUCAUAAAAGAAAAAUAUUCAUUUUCUUCUUUGAAAAUCACUUCAGAGAAGUAUGCUCCAAAGCAACCCUCAUUUUUAUUGCUCCUAAAAUCCUGAGAAAAUUCACAAAUAUUCUUUGAAUCCUAGGGCACCUCCCUGAGCAAAAAUAUUGCAUUACUUUUUGGAAUAUUUUUGCUACAGAAAAUCAUUUCUGUUAUGGACAGAAUAGCCACUUUACACAACAAGUAUGUUUUUCCUUGAUCCAAUGAGGCUGAUACUUUCUGAGCUUUAUUACCUUCCUAAGAGAUUGCUAAACCCCAAAUCCCAGCCCUUAACUCUUACCGAAUCACUCACAGUUAACCUCACAAGUUAUUGUCCAGAAACUUACCAAGAAGUAAACCACACUCUCACAGCUCCUGGGUUCAACUCAAAUCGUUGGAACCACUCAAACCACUAAGGACUACAUGCCAGACAUGAAGUUUGUGCUUAGCACAGCCUGAUGGUAUAGUUCACGUGGUGACCGCGUUCGCCCAGGGGUGCUGGCAUGUAGCCGGCGUGCUCUGCGAUGCACCCGCGCUUCUGUUGAGUGCGUGCUUGCUUCCCCGACCACCACACCUUGGCAAACCUCGCCACCAUCCUCGUCUCCACCCCCUUAACUCUGCCCUGGCACUCGCUGACACCAGAGCUCACUGUAGCAAGCACGAGGACGGCACGGCCAAGCCAACAGUGUGCCCGUGCCACUAUGCUCGUCACGUUCCUGGCUCCUGUGCUCAUCUCCGCCCUCCCAUAGUGCCCGCAUGACCUGCGUCGCCUUCUCCCCCUCUCGCUAACGUCGUUCGUCACCGGGCUCCAUGUCCAUAAGCUUCAUGGUAGAGCCCAAUCCCCUCCUCUCGCUCGCCUAUAUAUACGGGCCCCUCACGACUUCUUGAGCAUCACCGCACACACCCACAACCUCCACGAGCUCGUAGAACAGCCGUAGCCCGGCCGGGCAAGCCUCUGUCCGCCGCCCCGGCCCGAGCUCUCCGACGAUUCCCUGCAGCCCCUCCACCUCACUCCACUACCUCCCGAGCUCCACCCACUCCUCUGGUGGCUUGCUGGUGGUUCACUGGUGUCGUCCGACCAUGUUGGAGCCGCUGGUGAAGCCCCACGACACCGUCGUCAUCAACUCCGGCGACCUUUGUUUUCUGCCACCCCUGGAGAGCUUCGUUCCAGCCCCAUCCGGCCACCCCUAGCCAUGCUAUGGGUACGGGCAGGUGCUCCUCGACCUCCUCUAUCUUCCUAUCCCUUCAGAUCUAGCCGUUGGACACUCCUCGCCGGAGAACGCUCCGCCUACACGCAACCUGCCUCUGUUUCUCUCUCCCCCUCCCUCUGACCUGACCAGUGGGGCCCUCUGUCAGCCUAUCAGCCGUGCGUGAAGCGGUAUGAGUGGUGGCGCAUUUCAGAAGUGCGCCAUCGACAUCACCCCCUGGUUUUCUUUUAUUUCAAAUUUAAAUCAAAUUUUGACCAGAACUUUGACUAGCUAUAACUCCUAAACCACAAGUCCAAAUGAGUUGAUUCUUUUAGCAUUGCGUUCUUACUGGAAAACUCUAGCAGCACAACCAAGAUGAGAUUUUUCUCUGCUGCCUAGAUUUUCUGGUAAAUUUCAGAAGUGUUCUUGAUGUUUUCUUUUUGUCAUUUUAUUUAUCUUCAAAAGGAGAAGCUUGUCUUGAAGAUAUCCAGGAGGAGUGUGAAGCUCCUCUGAACUAAGGCAAGCCACACAAACAUUUUCAUGGUGUCUUUGCAAUAUCCAUGAUUUUUUCAACUUGAAUAUAUGAUAUUUCUUGCAUAUAGUUAUUAAAUGAAUAAUACUUGUGUUAGUUAUUUUGUCAUGAGCAAGAUGCUUAGUUUACAGAAGUGAGUGCCUGAACUAUUGAGAUCUAGCAUGAGUAGUUGACUAUGUGAUUUUCUUAUGAGUAUGGUAUGAUGAGCAUCGGUAUUAUUUUCAUAUAUGCAUGAUGAGUUUCAUAUAGUAAAUGAUAAACCAAAAAUGAUGAGUGCAAAUAACCAAUAAGAAAGACUCAACAAAGUUUAGUGAUUAUUUGUGCAAGUAGAACUUUUGAUGAGGUUGAUCUGUUAUUUUCAAGUGAUAUGAGAUGCAUGUCAUAUGGUUGCAUGAGCAUAGCAUAUGGUGACUCGAGCAUUUUAUUUCAAGUUAAACAUGAUGUUAAUUGAACUUGAACAUAAAGUUGAUCGGGUCAUGGUGCCACUGAAUCAGGCUGACCAGUGCAAUCACAUUUGCCUUCAUUGGGAAGGACGUUAGUCGGUCCGUUGUCAUGCCUCUUGUUGGUGCCUCCAAUGAGGGAAGGUUAUGGGCAUGCGUUACCCUGGCCCGGUAAGCAGACAUAACCUUGUGUGCCCGUUGUUGUUGAGAUGGUACCUUGUCCCCGUUUGGGACCGUUUUGUUUUGCCACAACAGUGGCCAUUUUGCCACGACGGCGGUCGUGAUGCCUUUGGUAGGCACGGGGCCACCCGUGAGUUAGCCCAGUUGGGAGUUAGUAGGAGUGGUCGAGAGAGUGUCAUGGCAAUGGGAGAGUUUUGUCGGAAUGUCGUUGGUCCACCCGAAUGGGAGUGCGAGGCCAUGGGUUCUGUGGUGUGGGUAUAGUGUGCUAUACCUCUGCAGAGUGUAUUAAAUAUAUCGAUAGCCGUGCCCGUGGAUAAGGGCCCAGUUCGUAAGUAAGUCACACCAUGGAUCAACUUUUAUAAACUAAUCUUGCACACUAGGUUAUUUGCAUGGCACUGGUUAAAUCAUGAUGAUGUCAGUGAGACUGAUCGUUGUGGUUCCGUUUGUGAUCCGUGAAUGAUCACCGUUUGGUUACAAGGUAACCCGUUGAACCGAGUGUGGUUCCGUUUGUGAUCCGUGAAUGAUCACUGCUUGGUUGGGAGGCAACCCGUUGGUAAGAGAGUCUGAGGGACUCGAUGCACAAGUUUGGAUGCAUGGCAUGAGAAGCAUGUUGUUAUUUGCAUUUAACUUGAUUAAAUGUCAUGAUAUUGUUUGUCAUUAUGUUUAUGCUUGUUGUGAGCUUGCAAGUACAUUCAAUGUACUGACCUGGCGUGUUAUGCCAAAUUUCAGGAAAGUCUAACUGGAUCGGAGUGCUGCCGUGUCUAAAUCGUGUCCACACCGGUGUCCCUGUGCUAUGGAGUCCCACUUCAUCGUCAUUCCGCUGCCGCGUAGUUGUCGUGAUCGAGUCCCCUUUAUGUUCACUAAAUAUUGUACAUAUUGUUCAGCCGCACCGAGUGUGCUGCUUGGCCUCGCUACUUGAUGUAAUAUAGCACUAUGCUUCCGCUAGUAUCAAUAAAGCGAUUGUUUUCUGUAUGAAGAUGUUGUGCAUUGCCAGAAGACAUGAUCUCUGAGUUGGCAAUGCAAUGUAAACCGGUUGCUCUAAGCUGGGGUGCCACAAUGCUUGGUAUCAGAUCCGCGCUGACUGUAGGACACGCUAGACCCCGACACGUUAAGUUGAACGUUAGCUACUUUGCUAAUUGAGUGCCGGUAGUGUUUGCAUAUGGAUGCUGCAUUGCAUGCAUUUGAUUUAUUGUUAUUUCUAACCGGUUAAUGGUCGUGAGUGUAGAUGGCUCCAGUACCAUAUCCGUGCCAGUUGGAGUUGUUGCCAUACACUUCACCGCAUCUUCUUCAGAAUGUAUGGCGUCGACUUUAUCCUCACGGUGACGACCCAGCGUAUUGGGUGUACCGAGAGUGUCUAGCCGACUCAGUGUACGAGUAUCAUGCCGUGGUUACUCUGUGCACCAGUUUGUCCUCAGGCUCUUACACUCGUACUUCUCGGAGCGGUUAUGCAUCCACCGCCACUCAGGCUGUUCAGUUUGUUGUGUUCGAGAUUCUUGUUGAGUUAUGCUAUACCCAGGUUCGGAUGCAGAAUCACCCAGGUUUUCGCUACUACCCAUCUUUGCACGAUGAUGGUCGUGUCGCUUUCCUGUCAUUGAUCCGGCGCCUGAUAGUGACACUAGCCACCUUUCUCGAUAUAUCACUGCUAGUUACCUUCUGAUUCAUGAGCUGGCUCGAGAGCUAACUCGUGCUCGUACUGCUUUAGUCGCCACUAGAUCCUACCCCACUCCACCUUCUAUGGGAUUUACUCCUUAUAUUGUGCCCCGUUCUAGCUCACCUAUUUCCCUGGUUACUCCUCCGAGUAGCUCGGGCACCUCGACUGUGAACCCACAUAGUGCUCCUGCUGAGUGGGCGUCUCUUCUUGCUACCCCUGCAGCUCCCGUGAUCCCUUUGUUGGGGAACGUUGCAGAAAAUAAAAAUUGUAUACGCUUUCACCAAGAUCAAUCUAUGAGUUCAUCUAGCAACGAGAGAAAGGAGUGCAUCUACAUACCCUUGUAGAUCGCGAGCAAAAGCGUUCAAGAGAAUGGGGUUGAGGGAGUCGUACUCGUCGUGAUCCGAAUCACCGAUGAUCCUAGUGCUGAACGGACAACACCUCCACAUUCAACACACGUGCGGUUGAGGAAGACGUCUCCUCCUUCUUGAUACAGCAAGGGGAAAGGAGAGGUUGACGGAGAUCUAGCAGCACGAUGGCGUGGUGGUGGAUGCAGCAGCAAUCUUGGCAGAGCUUCGCCGAGCUUCUACGAGAGGGAGAGGUGUAGCAAGGGGGAAGGGAGGCGCCAAGAGCAUGGGUGCGGCUUCCCUCCCUCCCCCCUCUUUAUAUAGGCCCCCUGGGGGGCGCCGGCCCUAGGAGAUGGGAUCUCCAAGGGGGGACGGCGGCCAAGGGGGUGGCUUGCCCCCCAAGGCAAGUGGAGGCGCCCCCCACCCCUAGGGUUUCCAACCCUAGGCGUAGGGGGGCCCAAGGGGGGGCGCACCAGCCCACCAGGGGCUGGUUCCCCUCCCACUUCAGCCCAUGGGGCCCUCCGGGACAGGUGGCCCCACCCGAUGGACCCCCGGGACCCUUCUGGUGGUCCCGGUACAAUACCGGUGACCCCCGAAACUUUCCCGAUGGCCAAAACUGCACUUCCUAUAUAUAAUUCUUCACCUUCGGACCAUUCCAGAACUCCUCGUGACGUCCGGGAUCUCAUACGGGACUCCGAACAACUUUCGGGUUACUGCAUACUCAUAUCUCUACAACCCUAGCGUCACCGAACCUUAAGUGUGUAGACCCUACGGGUUCGGGAGACAUGCAGACAUGACCGAGACGCCUCUCCGAUCAAUAACCAACAGCGGGAUCUGGAUACCCAUGUUGGCUCCCACAUACUCCUCGAUGAUCUCAUCAGAUGAACCGCGAUGUCGAGGAUUCAAUCAACCCCGUAUACAAUUCCCUUUGUCAAUCGGUACGUUACUUGCCCGAGACUCGAUCGUCGGUAUCCCAAUACCUCGUUUAAUCUCGUUACCGGCAAGUCACUUUACUCGUACCGUAAUGCAUGAUCCCGUGACCAGACACUUGGUCACAUUGAGCUCAUUAUGAUGAUGCAUUGCCGAGUGGGCCCAGAGAUACCUCUCCGUCAUACGGAGUGAAAAAUCCCAGUCUCGAUUCGUGCCAACCCAACAGACACUUUCGGAGAUACCCGUAGUGCACCUUUAUAGUCACCCAGUUACGUUGUGACGUUUGGCACACCCAAAGCACUCCUAUGGUAUCCAGGAGUUGCACAAUCUCAUGGUCUAGGGAAAUGAUACUUGACAUUUGGAAAAGCUCUAGCUAAACGAACUACACGAUCUUUGAGCUAUGCUUAGGAUUGGGUCUUGUCCAUCACAUCAUUCUCCUAAUGAUGUGAUCCCAUUAUCAAUGACGUCCAAUGCCCAUAGUCAGGAAACCAUGACUAUCUGUUGAUCAACGAGCUAGUCAACUAGAGGCUUACUAGGGACAUGUUGUGGUCUAUGUAUUCACACGUGUAUUACGAUUUCCGGAUAACACAGUUAUAGCAUGAAUAACAUACAAUUAUCAUGAACAAAGAAAUAUAAUAAUAACCAUUUUAUUAUUGCCUCUAGGGCAUAUUUCCAACACCCUUCUCAUCCCGUGCCUACCUAUGGGGGAGAGCCCUCAAGGCAGCGUCGUCAUGUUACUUUUAACCCGAAGGUCUCGGUUAAUGUCGUAAGUUCAGGAUCUGGGGUCUGACUCAGGAGAGGAUCCAGCAGCACCGGCAGAGUCCUAGAGCAUCUGCGUAUCCGCAGUGGUCAUGUGAUGUACAUAUGUAGUUUUAUGAGACAUGUUGUAUCAGUGCAUGUAUGCGAGUAGUCGCACCCGUCAUGAUGUCUACCUUUCAUGUACGAGUCUAUGUAUAAUUAUGUUGGAACUUUUUAUUUGUUCGCUGUUUUUCCCGAUUUUUCUUUUGCUCUUUCGGGUUGUUGGUGGCUUUUCUUCCCAUUUUUCGAUGUUGCUCAUUGCUGUUGCUUUUAUUGGGAAAAUUAAACAGUAGGAUGACGCGGGGAGGCAGCAGCACGCAGGCUUGUGAGGAUGUCCCUGUUCAUCGCUCAGCAAGACAGGCAGGACACUCCCUCGAGCCGUAUCCGCAACCACCGCCUCCAUCGCCAAAUCCACCCUCCACUGAAUGAAUUAUGUACAUGUUUGAAGAAAGAAGGAAAAACGAUCUGAUUGAGAUGUUAAAAAGUGUGCAAGCUAUGGUUGGGCAGAAUGGGCAUCAGAAUGGUCAUCACUCAAAGCUGUCAGAUUUUCAAAGGACUAAGCCUCCCAGUUUCAAUCAAGUGGUUGACACUUUGGAAGCAGAUGAUUGGUUAUGAACUAUUGAAAAGAAGCUUGAAAUUGCUCGUACUGAAGAAGUUGACAAGGUUCCGUUUGCUACCCACUAUCUUGAAGGAGCCGCUGUUAUAUGGUGGGAUAAUUCUAGAGCUAUGUGGCCCGUGGCCGAAGAAAUUACUUGGACUAAUUUCAAGGACCAAUUCCGCAAGUACCAUAUUCCAGCUGGUAUCAUGAAGGUCAAGCAACACGAAUUCCUCGGUCUCAAGGAAAUCUGUUAGUAAGUGAAUAUUUGCACAAAUUGAACCAUCUGGCCCGUUAUUCUCUCUAUGAUGUGGCCACAGAAGAAAGGAAGAUCGACAGGUUCCUUAGAUGAUUAAAUCAACACCUCAUGAGUACUCUCUGCAUGCUCGACUUUCCAGAUUUCCAGUCUUUGGUAAACAAGGACCUCAUCGCAGAAAGGGAGCACAAGCUUGUGCAUGACAACUGACCCACAAAUAAUGACCACAAGCGUAAAUUCAAGCCUUAGAAGGACGGACAGCCCAUGCAGAAGGCCCGUACCAGGCAGCAGACUCAAGUGGAGUACAAACCAAAUUGGCAGCAGGAUGUGAACAAGACCACUACCCAAGUCAAAAAUGUCGUGACCAGUCCAGUGCACAAAGAGUGUCAGCGCAACAACUCCUGCUUUAAUUGUGGACAGACCGAACAUUAUGCCAGAUAGUGUCCCAAGAAGUCAAAUGCCCCGUUCCGGCCACAAGUCAACCACAUGGGGCCCUACCCUGUCCAGAAGACCAUCCAAGGGCAAGUUCAUCACCUCUCCGCAGAUGAAGCCCAGGAAAACCCUAAAGUCGUCAUUGGUAUGUUCCCUGUUAAUAACAUACCCGCAAUAAUUUUAUUUGGCUCUGGGGCUUCCCACUCUUUUGUUUCUCGGAGUUUCGUUGCCCGAAACAAAUUUCCUUGCUCGCUUUUGGGAAAAAGUAUGAUGGUUCAAUCCCCGGGAUUCGUGCUCCAAAGCAAUCUGGUCUGCCAAAAUUUGGAAAUUGAUAUUAAAGGAGUCAGUUUUCCAACUGCAUUGAUAGUCAUCAAGUCUGCCAAGUUGGAUGUUAUUUUGGGAAUGAACUAGUUGACCCAAUAUCAAGUGUGCAUCAACUGUGCAACCCAAGAAGUCACCUUGACAAGUCAGGAAGGGCAAUCCAUAAAAUUCUAUGCCCAUAGAAGUAUACCCAAAAGAGAAUUGGUCUUGACUGCUGUAGCUGAAGCAUUGAAUUUAAUUCCCGUGGUUAGUGAAUUUCCCGAUGUAUUCCCCGAGGAAUUACCAGGAAUGCCGCCAGACCGAGAGCUUGAGUUUGUAAUUGAUCUUGUGCCCUGGAUAGCACCAUUAUACAAAAAGUAUUAUCGGAUGCCUCCGUCCAAACUCAUGGAAUUAAAGAAACAGCUUGAUGAGAUGCUUCAAAAAGGAUAUAUCCGCCCAAGCUCGUCACCAUGGGGAUCACCUGCAAUGUGGACAAGAAAGACGGCAGUCUCAGAAUGUGUGUGGACUACCAUCAAUUUAACGAUGUUACCAUCAAGAACAAAUACCCGCUGCCAAGGAUUGAUGAUUUGUUCGAUCAACUUAGUGCGGCAAAAGUAUUUUCCAAGAGAUAUUUAAGGACCGGAUACCAUCAGCCCAAGAUCAAGAAGGAAGAUAUCCCUAAGACCGAAUUCACUACCCGAUACGGUCUGUAUGAAUAUACCGUGACAUCUUUCGGUCUCACAAAUGCCCCUACCUUUUCAUGCAUAUGAUGAAUAAGAUAUUCAUGGAUUUCUUGGAUAAGUUCAUGGUGGUUUUCAUCGAUGACAUUCUCAUAUACUCAAAAAGCGAUGAAGAGCACAAGGAACACCUCCAAGCAGUCUUACAAAGACUCCGUGACCAUCAGUUGUAUGCAAAAUUCAGCAAGUGUGAAUUUUGGCUCAAAGAACUCGGAUAUUUGGGACAUGUUAUGUCAGCGGAAGGCAUCAUUAUGGAUCCCAGCAAACUGAAAGACGUACUUGAUUGGGCAGCACCCACGACUGUAUCCAAAAUUCAGAUUUUUCUUGGAUUAGCCGGAUAUUACCACCGGUUCAUUGAAGGAUUUUUCAAGAUUGCCAAGCCAAUGACAGAGCUCCUCAAGAAAGACAAGAAGUUUGAAUGGACUAAGGACUAUGAGAAGAGCUUUAACGAGCUAAAAACCAGAUUAACACCAGCACUGGUACUGACUCUCCCCAGACAUUUACCGCAGCUUUGAUGUGUAUUGUGACGCCUCCAAAAAAGGUAUUGGAUGUGUGCUCAUGCAAGAUGGCAAGGUGGUAGCCUACGCAUCUCACCAUCUACGACCCCACGAAGGGGAUUAUCCUACCCAUGAUUUGGAGUUGGCCGCUAUUGUGCACUCUCUAAAAAUUUGGAGACAUUACCUCAUUGGAAAAAGAUGUCAGAUAUUUACCAACCACAAGAGUCUCAAAUAUAUAUUUACUCAGCCAGACUUAAACCUUCGACAGUGAAGAUGGCUCGAGUUAGUCAAGGACUAUGAUCUGGGAAUAAAUUACCAUCCGAGCAAAGCUAAUGUGGUUGCUGGUGCCCUCAGUCGCAAGCCUGCCAGUUAAAAUGCCAUGAUGGAGUCCUUGCCUCCUGAACUCCAACAAGAGAUUGCUCAGCUUAACUUGGUAAUUUUAAACGUUGUCCUUGCAAAUAUUUUGGAAGUAACUCCUACUCCCGAGGAUGAGAUUCACAUGGCCCAAGCUGACGACAAAAUUCUACAAGGUCAUCUCAGGUGUCUGUAAGAAGGCAAGACUCAGGAUUUAUCUGAGGACGCGCAAGGUACACUCAGGUUUCGAGGACGGAUAUGUGUACCCGAGCAAGCAGACUUGAGAAAGAAGAUUUUAGCAGAAGCACACGAAUCCUUGUAUUCAAUACACCCGAAGGUACCAAAAUGUACAAAGACCUUCAACAGAUAUUUUGGUGGGAUGGAAUGAAAAAGGACAUCGCAUAUUUUGUCGCUUGUUGCGACAUAUGCAACAAAGUAAAGGCGGAACACCAGAAACCUGCCGGACUUCUCCAACCUCUACCCAUCUUGCAAUGGAAAUGGGAUGAUGUCUGCAUGGACUUUGUCACCGGUCUACCCAGGACUCAUCGAGGCAAUGAUGCAGUAUGGGUCAUAGUGGACAUGCUGACUAAAGUGACUCAUUUUAUUCCCAUCCGCACCACAUAUCGAGCUGAUCAACUUGCACAAUUAUAUGUGUCCCGGAUUGUCAGUCUGCAUGGAGUGCCAAGAACAAUCACUUCAGACCGAGGUUCCCUCUUUACAUCCGCCUUCUGGUCCCGACUCCAUCAAGCUUUGGGGACCGCCCUCAAAUACAGCACGGCCUAUCACCCACAGACAGAUGGUCAGACUGAGCGGGUAAAUCAAAUCCUUGAAGACAUGCUUCGAGCAUGUGCUUUAGCCCAUGGACCCAAGUGGGAAGACUGUCUGCCAUAUGCGGAAUUCUCUUACAACAAUAGUUUCCAAACCAGUCUAAAGAUGUCAUUGUAUGAAGCUUUGUACGGCCGUAAGUGCCGCACUCCAUUAAACUGGUCCCAAACCGGGGACAGUCGUAUCUUCGGAACUGAUUUAAUGUUGGAGGCGGAGAAACAAGUCAAGGAAAUCUGAGAUAGACUGCAGCUGACUAAGUCACGACAAAAGAUCUAUUAUGAUGCCAAACACCGGCAAGUCGGUUUUGAGCCCGGAGAACACGUGUAUCUCCGAGUCACACCAAUGAAGGGAAUCAAGAGAUUUCAGACCCAGGGCAAAUUGGCACCAAGAUAUAUUGGUCCGUUCCCAAUCAUGACCAGAGUUUGCAUAGUUGCGUAUCAGUUGGAAUUGCCACCGGAAUUGUUAGAAGUACAAAAUAUGCUCCACGUCUCAUAGCUAAGAAUGUGUAUUUCACCACCCAAGAGGAGGACUGAUAUGUCAUAAAUUGAGCUUGCCAAAGAUUUAACCUAUGAGGAGAGACCGUUUGACAAUAACAUUUAGGUCUCACGUUUACUCAUAUUAAUGGCAUAAUCAACUAGCGAGUAAUAAUAAUAGAUCUUGGAUGACAACACUUUUUUCAAAACAAUCAUGAUACAAUAUGACAAAAUGGUAUCUCGCUGGCCCUUUCUAAGACCGCAAAAUAUAAAUGCAGAGCACCCCUGAAGAUCAAGGACUGACUAGACAUUAUAAUUCAUGGCAAAAGAGAUCCAGUCACACUCAUACUCAACAUCAAUUAAUAACAAAGCAUACAAAUGACAGUGGUUUUAACAUCCCAAAUUUUCAAUUUGGAAUGUUAUACAUUAGAUCAUCAUUGCAUAUCAUAUUUUUAUUGCAUUUUGGGUUGAUCCUAGAAAUUCUACGCAACUCAAGGACCCACGGAAAGAGUUGGGGAUUCCGUUAUUUUCAUAUUUGAGUUUUCUCAAAUUUUGAAAAGAGGAUCGUUUGAUUUUAAUUAUUUUCUCUUCGAAUAUUUCUUAUAUGAAAAUAAAAGAGAGGGGAUAAAAUGACUUUCCCAAAAUAAAGAAAUAUUGAAAAAUGUAUUUUUUUUCCUAAUUCUAAUAGAAAGAAGUAUACAGAUCACCCUCAAAUCCACUCUUUGGGAUACAUACCCCCCUGAACUCAAAACCGGGAUAAAUAACACCCUCAAAUCAUCAAAACCGGCUUAAUAACCCCCUUGAGUGGUUUCUGUCUAAUUUUGAGUGGUUUUUGUCCCCAUGAUGCUGAUUAGGCGGUGACUGGGCAGAAAAUGCUGAGUGGGUCCCGUUAGUCAGUUGCCUCUCUCAUUNNNNNNNNNNNNNNNNNNNNNNNNNNNNNNNNNNNNNNNNNNNNNNNNNNNNNNNNNNNNNNNNNNNNNNNNNNNNNNNNNNNNNNNNNNNNNNNNNNNNNNNNNNNNNNNNNNNNNNNNNNNNNNNNNNNNNNNNNNNNNNNNNNNNNNNNNNNNNNNNNNNNNNNNNNNNNNNNNNNNNNNNNNNNNNNNNNNNNNNNNNNNNNNNNNNNNNNNNNNNNNNNNNNNNNNNNNNNNNNNNNNNNNNNNNNNNNNNNNNNNNNNNNNNNNNNNNNNNNNNNNNNNNNNNNNNNNNNNNNNNNNNNNNNNNNNNNNNNNNNNNNNNNNNNNNNNNNNNNNNNNNNNNNNNNNNNNNNNNNNNNAAUCGCAGGCGCCCUCCGCUGCCAUCUUGUUGUUUGCAGCUCGUCCACCACCGGCGGAACCAAACCAUGUGUCCAGGUGCGUGACUCCAUCUCUGCUGCUCCUCUGUUUCGUUUCUAGUCUUGUUCGCCGGGUAAAUCGCGGCGCCAGUGUACGACCGCGUGCGUCGUAGAGGUAUGGGUUCGGGUGAGGGGAAUGGGGCGUCUCUGUACUAGGGAUUUAGGGGACCAAGUUCACAACCAAGCUCACUGCAUGUGUCACAGCAAAGAUCAUUGGUUGUGUCACAACCAAGCUCACAGAUAUAUGACAAGCAUGCUCCAGCCAGCAAGCCUAGAUCAGCAAAGAUUCAGAGAAGUGUUGCUACUCCAUUUGUUCCACCUAAACAAGUUACAAGCUUGCCAUACCAUUGUGUCUUCAAUCUAGCUGCAUACAAGGAAGCUAAGAAAGGCAGAGCAGGGCCUCCAGUUUGAUGUUGAAGGAGUCUUUUUUGUAUCAGGAGUCAUGUCAUGUACUAUAUAUGCAGUCAUGUAUUAUCUGUACUGUCGGCCAACUAUAUUGGUUCUGGAUUGAACAUAAACCAUACUAUUUUUUUCUGGAUUGAACACCAAAUAUAUAUCUGUAAUCCUAUUUGGUUCUAUAUUAUUAACAUAGUACUUGUGCAUUGCUUACAUGACAGCACACAUACAUGGCAACACACAUAGGAAUAUCCGACGGCACAUACAUGAUGGCACACAUAAAACAUAGCACAAGUACCAAAAUUUGAUUUUUCAUAACAUCACUCAAUACAAAUUCUGAAUGUUUUCAUAACAGAACAUACAUUCAGGACAUCAACUUCUCCAACAUACAUUUUGCAUCUUGCUUAACAGCAUACAUAAAUGAGUCCUUCACAAACAAUUUUUUUCAUGAUGUAAAUCAUUUCCAAAAGAAGGAAAUGGCAAAGCAGAACAGAGCAACCACAAGGAACAACUGCACUUUCUGAAUCUUGUUCUUCAGGACAACAACUUCUCCAUGAUGCUUGGCUUCCAAAUCACGCAGAUACGCGUCCAACAUCUUAUUCUUCGACAAGCUGCCGUUCCUUCAGUCGAGACACAACAUGCUCACAAAUGAAGUGUGUGGAUCAUCAUGCCAAAGUAAAUAUCUGCAGUCGACUCCCUGGGUUCACAAGAGCGAGUGAACAAUUACCAACAAAAUCAGAAGCAAAAAGAAUCAGAAGCAACAGAUUAACAGAGAGGAAAUUUGAGUUGAACCAAGUGCACACGCAGAGAAGCACUAGUGCUUUGCUGCAGUUGUAGUACCUUGUCCCUGGGUUCUUCGGGCUCCAUGAGAUCCAUCUUGGUUCAGCUGCUUCAGUUCACUUGAGUUGUCAGGCAACUGAACAUUUCUUUCUUGAAUGCCACAACAAGAACCUGUUUGAUGCCAAGUAUUUGGUCGAAUUGCCAUCAGUACUACUAGAACAGACUGUAGUCUUGAAUAUGAAUAAACAAACACGCAGCAGAUACCUGCAAGAUUCUCGUGAUGGAGCUUCCAUCGGGCAACUGAUUCCUGUAGAAAGAGAAGCCAGCCAGCCAUAUGAGCAUCCCCAGCAGCACCUACAGUGCACACAGGGUGAAGCCGAUGUCCAACCACACGAGGAGCACUAGGCCAACGAAGCCGCC